GAACAUAGUGGAUACUAGGGAUCAAACCCUAACAAAACUAACUUGAUUACAUGGUGAAUCUCAUCCAACCCAUCACCGUCCAGCAAGCCUACGAUGGAAUUACUCACGCACGGCGAUGAGCAUCAUGAAAUUGGUGAUGGAGGAUGGUUGGUGAUGACGACGGCGAUGAAUCCCCCUCUCCGGAGCCCCGAACGGACCCCAGAUCAGCCCUCCCGAGAGAGAUUAGGGCUUGGCGGCGGCUCCGUGUCGUGAAACGCGAUGAAACUUUCUCUCUGAUUUUUUUCUCCCCGAGACGGAAUAUAUGGAGUUGGAGUUGAGGUCGGAGGGUGUCCAGGGGGCCCAUGAGAUAGGGGGCCGCGCCCUAGGGGGGCGCGCCCCACUGUCUCGUGGACAAGCCGUGGGCCCCUGGCACUAAUUCUUUUGCCAAAAAUUCUUAUUAACUCUGAAAAGUCCCUCCGUGGAUUUCUAGGACAUUCCGAGAACUUUUCUUUUCUACACAUAAAACAACAUCAUGGUAGUUCUGCUGAAAACAACGUCAGUCCGAGUUACUUUCAUUCAAAUCAUGCAAGUUAGAGUCCAAGACAAGGGCAAAAGUGUUUGGGAAAGUAGAUACGAUGGAGACGUAUCACUCGUCUCAUUGUUAUGGACAACAUUACCUCUGGGGGAGCGCUGGCUUUAGGCCGAACUCUCUGACUUGACGGCUUCAUCAUGGCUGCCCCAUCGGUGGUUGCGCCGAUGAUGGCCUCUCGGGUCAUCAUGCAUAACCUUCACGACCAAUCGGAACUCGCCGAACAGAUGGAUCUGAUAGAGCUCUCCUCCCUUAAUGAGCUCCUGGAUCGCGUCGCCGCUCUGGGAGUCGCUACGGACUAUGACUAGAUUGGGCUUAAACCCGACCAGAGGGACAUUCAAUCCCCACCGGCCACCCAUGAGAUAGCGGUAGUGGAGGAACCACACACAGAUUACCCCUCAAUUUUGAGGAUGAAUUAUGUCCGGAUCACUGAGCUCCCUGAGCCGGACACCCGCUCAAGGGAAGACAUGACCCAAGUCCCGGACAUAGAAUCGGGCACUGGGCCAGAGAAAUUGGGCAGCACCCCGGAUCCCGAGCUGUCAGACUCGGAAGCACCCAUGCCCCUGGGCGCUAGAUCGGAUCAGAAUCUGGAUUCAGCUGCGCCCACCCACCCGAACUUCAACCGUCUCUCCCAUAUCAGGAAAGAGCCCCAGUAGACAGUACAUUGCUACUGGGCCAGAUUCCUCCUUGUGCUAAACAAGGUCAAGGACUGCCGCGAGGAGGACGUAGUCUCACUUUUCUGCAAAAACUGCACGAACAAAGGAAUCCUUAAUGCUAUAAGUUGUCGUGACAUAGUACACUUUGCUGACUUGGCAACUAUAGUACAAAAGUACUGUGCGAUGGAAUGCACCUAGAAAACCCAAACAGAAUUUUGGGAUAGUCCGGCUCUCACCAAAACCUUUGUCCGAACUAAACGGGCGAACUCUCGUAAGUCGGCCGAUCCAAUCCCCAAGAAACCAAAGCCCACCCCAGGGCAGGGAACCGUAUUGGAAGAAUGGCUCAAUGGGCCAUGUAAACUCCAAAGUACUCCGGACACAACACCAACUCAUAGCCUUAGGGCAUGUUGGAUACUCCGGCAGGUUCCCAAAAGUGGCGAGGAUCUUCUCGCAAGCCAUAAAGCAGAACAACAUCCCGCCAACGAACACAAUAUAGUACUAAUAGUCUUCGAGACUUUUGCCUCAAACAAUAGGCGCAAGCGAGCUCAUCGAAGCUCCGCCGAAAUCUGCCAUCUGGCAAAAAUAAACCCAUGGAACGACACUGCUAUAACUUUCAAUGCCAGUGAUGAACCUUGGUUCCAGACUGUCCGGGCACCAACCGCUCUGGUCCUUAGCGCAAUCAUGGACGGCUUUCGGCUCACUAAAGUACUCAUGGACGGCGGAAGCGGACUAAACUUGAUCUACGAAGAAACACUUAACAAGAUGGAAAUUUAUAAAAUCCGCAUUGAACAAAGUGGCACAACCUUCAGGGGAAUUAUCCCUAGUCGGGAAGCGCCGCGUGCAAGAAAAAUCACACUCGAUGUGGUAUUCGGCACCCCAGAGAAUUAUAGGUCCGAAGAAAUCACAUUCCAAGUGGCUCCUUUUAGCAGCGGAUACCACGCCCUUCUAGGGCGGGACGCGUUUACGAGCUUUCAAGCUAUACCCCAUUAUGGGUACAUGAAGCUUAAAAUGCCUGGACCCAAAGGAUUCAUCACUCUAGCUAGUGAUCCGGACGUCGCACUUCGCGCCGAAAAUAAAACCAUAGCACUAGCCCUGGAAGCAUUAUCCGAAGCCCUAGCAGCCGAAGAAUUAACAACACUGCGGGCCACCAUGGACAAGGACGACGUGAUACUCGACAAGCGACCCAAGUCCACCUCAUUUAAACCCGCAGACAAGAUAGUCAAAUUCCAAGUCCAUCCAAAGGACCCCACGAAGACAGCUUCCAUCGGGACACAGUCGAACCCUGCAAUGGACACUGCACUGCGAGACUUCUUACGCGAGAAUUGGGACAUUUUCGCCUGGCACCCAUCGGACAUGCCGGGCAUCCCACGCAUAUUGGCCGAACAUUGCCUCAAUAUACUAAAAGGAUACAAACCUGUCAAGCAGACCCUAAGGCGGUUUUCAGAGCCCAAACGGCAAGCCAUGGGGGAAGAGCUAGCCAAGCUACUUGAGGCCGGAUUCAUCAGAGAUAUCAAGCAUCCGGAUUGGCUGGCAAAUCUAGCAAUGGUACCAAAGAAGGACAAAUCCUGGCGCUUAUGCGUCGACUUCAAAGACCUCAACAAGGCUUGCCCCAAGGAUCCCUUUUCUCUCCCUCGCAUCGAUCAAAUCAUUGAUGCCACAGCAGGACAUGACUUGCUGUGUUUCCUCGAUGCAUACUCUAGAUACCAUCAAAUAAAGAUGGUAGAGUCCGACCAAGCUGCAACAGCUUUCAUAACACCAUAUGGCCCUUUCUUCUUCAACACUAUGCCUUUCGGGCUUAAGAAUGCCGGAGCAACCUAUCAACGCAUGAUUCAAACAUGCCUGGAAAAGCAAAUCGGCAAAACAGUGGAGGCAUAUGUGGACGACGUGGUCAUAAAAACAAGACACGUCGAAACCCUAACAGAUGACUUGAGGCUUACAUUCGAUAACCUCCAGACAUAUGACAUCAAACUGAAUCCGGAAAAAUGCGUUUUCGGCGUCCCGUCGGGGAAACUGCUGGGCUUCAUUGUUUCCAAUAGAGGAAUUGAAGCGAAUCCGGUAAAAAUCUGAGCUCUGUCACAGUUGGCUAUACCAACAGACCUCAAACACAUCCAAAAACUAGCUGGAUGUGUGGCCGCUUUGAGCUGCUUUAUCUCCAGGUUAGGAGAAAAGGCAUUACCUCUUUACCGCCUUCUUCGGCGCACUGAACACUUCGUGUGGACGGAUGCAGCCACGGCCGGACUCGAUGAAAUAAAGACCUUACUGGACAGUAAUCCAGUCCUAACAGCGCCAAAUAUCGGCGAGCCUAUGCUGCUGUACAUAGCUGCAACACAUCAAGUUGUAAGCGCAGUGCUCGUCGUCGAACGAGAGGUUGACGGAUACAAAUUCCCGCUCCAAGCCGGUUUAUUACGUAUCCACGAUCCUCACCCCAUGCAAAUCCCGAUACCCACACUAUCAAAAAAUAGCAUACGCGGUCUUCAUGGCAUUCCGGAAGCUAUGACACUACUUUCAAGAGUGUUCGAUUAUGGUGGCCUCCGAAGUACCACUCAAUGACAUAAUAAAUAACCGCGAUGCUACGGGCCGGAUUGCUAAAUGGGCCAUCGAGCUCCUUCGGUUCGACAUAACAUACAAACCACAGCGGGCCAUCAAGUCGCAAGUACUGGCUGACUUUGUCGCCGAAUGGACAGAAGCCGAACUCCCUAAAGAGUACGACGUGUACUCUAACUGGAUCAUGCACUUCGACGGCUCUAAAAUGCUUGCCGGAUUGGGAGCAGGUGUAGUCCUAACGUCUCCCACCGGAGACACGGUCCAGUACGUCCUCCAAAUAUUAUACACAGACUCCAACAAUGCAGCCAAAUAUGAGGCUCUGUUGCACGGUCUUCGGAUGGCAGUCUCUAUGGGCAUCCAACGCCUAGAAAUGCGUGGGGAUUCAAACCUCACAAUAUCACAAAUAAACGGAGACUUUGAUGCCAAGGAUCCGAAAAUGGCGCCCUACCGUAAUGCCGUCCUCAAGAUGUCAGCUCGGUUCGAGGGGCUCGAAUUCCACCAUGUGGCUCGAGAAAACAAUCAAGCGGUGGACGUCCUCGCCCGCACCGGUGCUAAACAUGACCCUGUCCCACCUAAAAUAUUCCUGGAAAGGCUGUUCAAGCCAUCCGUGGUAUGGGAAGGGCAGUCCGACAAUACUAGCACGGAUCUUAAUACACCCCCAGAUUCCGAACUAUCAGACAUAAUCGGAGGCUCUACCACCGAAAUAACAUCUUCGGCCCACAAAAUAAUGGUUGUAAUCGCCCCGUGGACUGAGCCUUUCUUGGCCUAGCUAAAUAGGCAGGAGCUCCCCGAAGACCAAAAUGAAGCACGCUGCAUCGUCCGGCGUUCUAAAGCUUACAAAGUCCAUGAAGGGGAACUCUAUAAGAAAAGUGCGACCGAAGUGCUCCAAAGGUGCAUCUCCGAAGAGGAAGGGCAACAGCUCUUGGCUGAAAUCCAUGCCGGACUGGGCGGGCACCCCGCCACGGCUCGAGCACUAGUCAGCAAGGCCUUCCGUACAAGCUUCUAUUGGCCGACGGCCCGAGCAGACGCACAGGACCUUGUACAACACUGCUUCGGUUGCCAGCUCUUUGCCAAUCAGAGUCAUAUGCCCCCUACCGCUCUCCAAACAAUCCCCAUAACUUGGCCCUUCGUGGUCUGGGGGCUGGAUAUGGUUGGACCUCUUAAAGGGGGAAGCCAUAAGAAAAAAUACUUAUUGGUCAUGGUGGACAAGUUCACCAAAUGGAUAGAAGCCAAACCGGUCAAAACGGCCGAAUCCGGACCAGUAAUAGACUUCAUAUCUGGGGUCGUACACCGAUACGGUGUCCCCCACAGCAUCAUCACUGAUAAUGGCUCAAAUUUCACAACCGACGAAGUGAAAACUUGGUGCGGCAAAAUGGGCAUUAAGCUUGAUUACGCUUCCGUCUACCAUCCCCAAACAAACAGCCAGGUCGAACGGGCAAACGUUCUCAUCAUGAGCGGCAUCAAAUCCAGACUAGUGCAAUCCUUGACAGAGUCGGAUACGCACUGGGUCGAAGAGCUCGACUCCGUACUAUGGGGGAUGCUGACCACGCCGAAUUGCACCACCGGAUAUACACCAUUUUUCAUGGUGUACGGCGCGGAAGCAGUACUACCCUGCGACAUAAUACAUGAUUCUCCAUGCAUACGCAUGUACGAAGAGAAGGAAGCCGAGUUAGAUCGUCAGGAUAGCUUGGAUGCCCUGGAGGAGGAGCGCGACAUCGCAAAAGCCUGCUCCGCAUUCUAUCAGCAGCAGGCUCGACGAUACCAAAGCAGAGAAGUGCGGGCCAAAACUUAUAAUAUUGACGAGCUCGUUCUACGCCUACCGGAGAAGAAGAAGAACAAGCUCAAACCCAAGUGGGAAGGUCCCUUCAUCAUUGACAAAGUUCUCACCGGAGGAGCGUACCGCUUACGUAAUGCAUCCGAUAACAGACUCAGCCGAACCCAUGGAACACGGCCAGACUCCGGAGAUUCUACGCCUAGUGCCGAACUCAGUGUUCGUCUCCUUAAACCCUCCUUUUUAAUUAUGCCCCUCCCCAUUCCUUUCUCGACCUUUUUUCCUCUUCACACAAAGUAUUUAAUACAGUACGGACUCCCGGAUCAUUCCUGCCGCACUAUGUGUGUAAGUAAUACCUGGGGGCUUCCUAUACGGAAGCUAAAAAUAAUAACUCUAAUGGCUUUUUUCUCAUCACAUAUGCGUUUCUUUUUCCAUAUGUGCCUUUUCUUCACCAUUAUAUGCAUCGAUAUGACUUAAGAUGUGGCCAAGCUGGGUUGCCUGGCUCUUGUGUUUAUGCCCUAUGUUCCCGUUAAUUCGGCUAGGGCAUAAGGGGAGCACCUCUGCGAUUGUUACUGCCGGUUCAGCCGGAUGUGUACCUCAGACUGGGUGAAGCCGAAAGCUAGCGUCCUUAAGAGAAUAUUCGGUCGGUGAACAAAAGAUGUAUUCGUUUAUUACAACAUAAAUCCCCAGAAGUUUUGUAUCCUACGCCCUUGUUCACAGUCCGGACAUGUGCAUAGUCGCAUGCGUACCCAGGGAAAGGAACCCCUAACGGAACUAUUAUCCCUGGAAGAUGUUUCUUACUAUCCAUGUAAUAUAGCAUAACUAGUUGGGUACUUGUCUGUUCAAGCACUUAUGACCCCUACGCCCGGUUUCCACGCAUACCCCGGUUUUGUAUAACUGAUCGGGUAUUUGGACACACACCGGACUAUAGAAUCCGGGGUCUGGAGCGAAAAGGUCCGCCAUGACAAAUGAUUUUAAUCCGGCAGGGACUACUUAUGUCCAUUGAAUUACAUAGUCACUUGGACUGACUAUAUUCCUCCUCUAUACCAUCCAACAGGCUAUCUAACUUAUAAUCCUAUUGAGAAUACUUUGCGACAAACGCUACCUGGUCAUAUACCAGACUUACAGGAAUUUCUUGCCCAUCUGGCCCCGCCGGUCCGACUUCGGCCAUAUGGUUCGGGUCUAGCUUGGUGUAGCGCGUCUUCACCAUAGCCCAGGCUUCUCUUGCACCUUGCAAACAGGCUGACAUCUUCCACAAUCGGAAGCGCCGCCGUGCUCCUUGAAGCAUAUCCACAAGCUCCCCCAUGCCAUUCGGCAGGAAGCUUGAUGGCCACAAGGCCUGAGCAACGCCCUGCAUCACCUGCCGAGCUUGCUCAUGCAGUUGUGAGAGGUCUUGUAGUAAAUCGCCUAUAGAUAAGGGCAUCUCCUCCUCAGGGCGACCUGUUAACACUCCUACAAGUAAAAUCCUUUCAAUAUACUUCCACGCCGAACUAUACUACAGUUCGUCUAGGCACUUACCAUAAAUGCCGCGUCGAAGCCUUUUGUUGUCCUUCACGGAGUCCGCCAGCUAAGCGCGGACGUCUUUUAAUUACACGUCCAGCUGGACUUUGUCAUCUUGAAGAUUGUUCUUCUCCUGCCUAACUUGCGUAUGAACGUGCUCGCCAGCCUUUAGCUGCCUUUUGAGAUGUGACUCGUCAUCUCUUACGCCCUCCGGAUUCACCCCGAGAUUGUCUGCAGAAUUUUCUGUUAGACUCGUCAUGCCAGCCAUUUACUAACUGGCGCAUCUUCAUACAAUUGAGACAAAUGUUACAAGAUGAGGGCUUCUGGGAUUCCUCUAACUUGGCAACUGUGGCCCUCAGCUAGGCCUUGCACUCCUCCAUCUCCCGAGACAAUUGCUCAUUCUUAUCUACAAGGGCCUAUGCAUAAAUUGAUCCUUAAAACAGUUGUCCCAACCGUUUCAAGUCUCAGGGGCUACUGCUAUACAUGCUUAUCAAAUUUUCUUACCUGUAUAUCUUUGGUAUACUGGUCCGUCGCUCGGGCAAGCCCGCCUUGAGCAGCUCAGAUGUAUGCGUCUCCCGAAUUGAAGGCAUUAAAUGCCUCUUCGGAAAAUAUGUUGUUCCGAAGCACGGCCCGUCGGUGCCUGUGAUUCAUGGCACUCUCUACUUCGGAGUUCGUGGCCGACAGCAUAUCUGCGUCCUAUGUGAAAGAACUAUGCAGCAUCGGCCCCGCUUCCGCCUCCACUCUCAAAGCCGGUUCUGGAAUCCGGCUGGUGGAGGCGUGAUCGGCGGGAUCCCAGGAUGUAGUCCGGCUACUCCUCUUCCUGUCGGGACACAAAGGGCGUUGUUAUACUUCAAAUACAAUAAUCGCAGGACAUGUUUUUUCCUUACCUCUAUAGCGGCGUGUCGACCCUAACUGCCUUCCUCUUGAGCCUUCCCAAUCCGGACGCCCGUGGCCGACGGGUCCCUAGGGGCUUGGCCCCGUGUUCCGACCGUCAUCUCUGCAAAAACACGACACUUCAGGGGUAAGCCGUGACAUCUGAAAGGAGUCCUCUUCACAGGAUAGGGUUUUUGGCUUGGCCUACACGCGAUGUAGGUAGCAGUCCGGGAUAGUCGGCAAUAAUGGCCACUGAGGCGCCAUCACAACUCGCUUGAUAAAAUAUCCCGUUGACAAGCUCCAUGGCAAUAUCCGGAUCUUCUUCGAGUCCUGGAUCUAGGGCCCUUCUGGGGUCCUCUGGUUGCGGGGAGGGGCUGGAGAUUCCUUCUACGUCCCUCCUCAGCUCCUGCUCGGAAAUAUCAAAGCAGAUAAUCUUAGCAAAGAACGCCACAAUAAGUGAAGCGGGGAAAGGAAUAACGACUUAGCCUGUUUGGGGGGUUGUACAUCGAGAAUCCAUCACGCGGUUUAAUGUGAAGGAAUUCUUCCUCUUCUCCUUUAUAUAAAUCGGACAAUAUCCUUGCCAGAGCAGUGGCGGAGUCCGGACCCUUACGACCACAGCGGGUGACAUCAUCUUCCCCGUUGAAGUGCCACAUGGGCUUCCCCCGAUAUUGAAGCGGUUGCACUCCCCGCAUUAUGCAUAUUGCCAUAACCUCGACUAUCGUCAGUCCAGAUUUGGCCAGUAACUUUAUCCUGCUCAUCAGGAAGUGUAUUUCCCUAGUAUCCUCCUCUUGGGGGCCCCGGGGGCGCCAGCUUAGACGUGCCCUCGGCGGGGCAUUACUGAACUUGGGGAGACCUGUCCGGACUAGAUCCGGAAGGGGAACAUCGUCAAUAUAAAACCACUCUGAAGGCCAGUUCUCUGGUGCCUUCUAGGGAGUGCCGGAUGAGUAUCCGGUCUCAGCAAUACGCCAUACUUCGGCCCCGCCCACUUGACAUAGGGAUUCUCCUUGGUUGCAGGGGACAAGGCAGAAUAGCUUCUUCCAUAACCCUAAGGAGCCUCACAGCCUAGAAAUAACUCACAAAGGGCAACUACCCUACUAUGUGUAGUACGGAGGCAGAGGUAACGUUGUGCAACUGGAGGCCGUAGAACUCCAGGAGCCCACGAAGGAACGGGUGGAUGGGAAAUCCGACGCCCCUUAGCAGAUGAGGGAUGAGGCAUAUUCGCUCCUCUGGAGAUGGAUUGGGAGAUCCCUCCGCCUGUUCCCCGCCGUUAUAGGUGGCUAUUCCGGCUCGGACGGGGACCAUGAACGCCGGUGGGAGAAACCCUUGGGUUGUAACUCUAUCAAACGGCCAUGAGGAACUGAACACUCUUCCCAGUCCCCCGGUUUGGAGCGAGGAGAGCGAGCAGAAGAGCUGUGACGAUCGGCCAUGUUGGAAUGGUUUUUUCGGAGCGCUCUAUUGGAUGCAUGCUCGAGGGGGGAGAGUGAUGUUUUGAUCUGGGAAUCCCCGUCUCUUCAAAUAGAUAGUCAGCCCGAAGGAUUGAGGGUGGCAAAUGCAAAAAUGCCUUGGCUCCUCGCAUUCGCUCGACACGUGGAGAUGGUCAUUAUUGAGGCACUGAAGCCGAGGAGUACAACAUUGAUGGGAUGCCGGAAACUAUUCAUCAUAACAGGUACUUUGGAGUAUUCGGAGAUGGAACCCGCCUUGCAAUGCUGAAGACAAGACUGCGCGCUGUACUCAUCGUCAUUGAAGCCUGGUUCAGGGGCUACUAAGGGAGUCUUGGAUUAGGGGGUAUCCGGACAGCUGGACAAUAUACAUCGUCCGGACUAUUGGAGCGUGAAGAUACAAGACUCAAGACUCCGUCCCGUGUCCGGAUGGGACUCUCCUUUGCGUGGAAGGCAAGCUUGGAGAUCCGGAUAUUGUAUUUCCUUCCUUAUAACCGACUCCGUGUGAACCCUAGCCCUCUCCGGUGUCUAUAUAAACCGGAGAGGUUGGUCCUUAGAAGGCCGAUCACAAUUACAAUCAUAAUCAUCAUAGGCUAGCUUCUAGGGUUUAGCCUCAACGAUCUCGUGGUAGAUCUACUCUUGUACUACUCAUAUCUUCAAUAUUAAUUAAGCAGGAAGUAGGGUUUUACCUCCAUCGAUAGGGCCCGAACCUGGGUAAACAUUGUGUCCCUUGCUUCAUAUUACCAUCAGCCUAAGACGCACAGAUCGGGAUCCCCUACCCGAGAUCCGCCGGUUUUGACACCAACACCCCCCUCACCGAAAAUCCAGCCUCCAGCCCGGACAUCCAGAGGCGCCAUCCAGGGAGCACAGAAGGCUGCCCAGACAGCCGGGACAUCCGGUCAUCACCCCGGACAUCCGACGCCUCCCGAAGCCCCGGACAUCCAGCCCCUCUGCCCGGAAAUCCGGCGCCACCCAUCCAGAGAGCAGAACGGCCGUAUCCACCAGCCCGGACAUCCGGCCCCUCGCGAGCCACCGGACAUCCGGCCCGACGCCCGGACAUCCGGCCUUCCCUGUCUGCGAAUAGUGUAAGGGCAGAGGCCCGUGUACCCCCUUCGCCCCUAGACUAUAUAUACUCCAACCCCACCUACGUUUUAGGGUUAGCCUUGGUUUAGCUCGUUUGAGAUAGAGCAUUGCUCAUCCAUACCGGAUCUACUCCUUGUGAGGGACCGCACCUCUUCGGAGAAGAUCCAUCCGGAUUCGAGGACUCCAUCCGGAGAAGACAAUCAAGACCUCCUCACGGAGAAGAACGAUUACUCUUGUAUAGUCCCUUGUUGGCUUUGGAUCUCGUGUUACUUUGUGCCUCGAUGAUCUAGCACUUGUUUGAUCAAUUUCGCUUCGGUUAAUUGUUUCUCUUGUUUUUUUUGAAUAUAAACAGUAGGGUAAAACCCCACUGCAGCUUUUAUGAAAUUAAAUAAUCAAGGCAGAGAGUCUAGUCUCAAGGGCUUGAGAUAAGCACAAAAAAGAGAGGAAGAAAAAACAGAAAAAAAGAGAAACUAAUAAAAAACCCUACCCUAUCUCUAUAUUUACAAGAUUGAGUCUAACCAAACUGAAUAUUGAGGCAGUAAUUUAUUCUUCAUCCUGAAUUUCAAUAGCUUGAGCUCCUCCAGAAAGAUAUGCUUCCACCCCUGAAAAGAGGGGUUAAUAUGCUCACAGAUUUUGUUGUUUCUAGAGAUCCAAAUAGCCUAAGAACCCAAUAUAAUAAUCUCCAUGAAAUAAGGGAGGUGCAGAUUGUCCUUGAGGUCUUGAAAUGCUUCCAGCACAGAUAAAUUCCUGUCUCUGUUAGGGCAAAUUAAGUCCCAACAUUGUGCUGCAAGGGGGCAGCUCCAAAAAAGAUGAUGCAGUGUCUCCUCCUGAUGGCAAUACCUAACAGCACAAUGAUAAUCCUCAAGCUCAAAAUUCUUUCUUCUUAGUAGGUUCCUAGUGUUAACUCUAUCAUGCAGCAGUUGCCAGAAGAAAAUUUUGUGCUUUGGUUGACAUGAGAUCUUCCAAUUCCAAUUGUAGUGAGGUGGAGUUGGCUUAUAACCAAUUAACACCUUAUAAGCUUUGCUUGCAGAGUAUCUUUCAUUUCCCCAAAUAUAGCUCCAUGUAUCUUUCGACUGCAGAUAUUCUAAGUUUCUUAAUGAGAUGCAAAUAUCUUCCAUUUCAAGAAAUUCCUCAUAAGCUUGAGUUGUCAAUGGCAGGUGAAAUAAAUCUUGGAGAUACUCAGUAUGGAUAACUUGGCUUACAGUGAUAGAAGUGUCUCUGGCAAAAGUGAUUAGGUGGUGAAAUUUGUGCUUCAAGAUGAAAUCAUGCCAGCAGACAUCCCAGAACAGGGCAGUAAGACCAUCUCCCACAUUGCAUCUGGCAAUAGCCUUGUAAGGGUCAAUGAGAGCUAAAUUAGAUUUCCACCAAAAGGAACCCUCCCUACUGUCUCCUAGUAGGUUUCCAUUACUGUAGUAAGUCUCCCAAAUUAGGUUUACCCAAGGAAUAUCAUGUCUGUUAAAAAACUUAUGGAGGUUCUUCAUGAGCAAGGUCUUGUUGUGUGUAAAAAUAUCCAAGACACCAAGACCCCCUUGACUCUUGGGUCUACACACAGUUUUCCAGGCCACUAGUACAGGUCUCUUAUCCUCCAUAUCAGGGCUCCUCCACAAACAAUGUCUCAAGUACUUGAUGAUCUGUUGUUUUAUUGUAACGGGCACAUCCAAGCAGCACAUGAAAAAAAUAGUUAAAGAUGUCAGUACUGAUUUCACCAAAAGCAACCUUCCUGCUUGAGUCAUGAAUGUAGAAAGGCUAGCAAGUUUUUUUGCAAUUCUCUGCACUAGAGGUAGGCAUUGUUCCACAGUGGGUUUAUAAAUUCCCAGGGGCAGUCCCAAGUAUGUGAAAGGGAAGUGCCCUCUGGAGCAUUGCAAUGUAUUUGUGAAGAUUUCAACUCUUUAUUCUGUGAUGUUGAUGGGCACCAUGAUUGAUUUACCAUAAUUUACUUUUAAACCACUGGCAGAAGCAAAGGUAUUUAGGAGUGACUUGAGACAAACUAGCUCUCAAACAUUAGCUUUCAUGAGGACCAGUGUGUCAUCAGCAUACUGCACUAUUGGGAAGUGAGGACAAGAAUUUCUGUGUAGUGGGGGAGUUAUAAGUCCCAGUCUCAUUGCCUUAUUCAAGAUGGAUUGAAGCAGAUCAGCUGCCAGAACAAAUAUCAAAGGUGAAUAAGGAUCACCUUGUCUGACCCCUCUUUUGCAAUAAAAUUUCUUCCCAGGGACUCCAUUAAGCAUUACAGCUAAAGUUGCAGAUGUGAAAAUCAUAUUCAUCCAAGAGAUCCACUUCUCACCAAAACCUUUUGCUCUGAAUAUAUCAAUGAUUGCCUGAUGUUCAAUAGUAUCAAAAGAUUUUUCAAAAUCUAGCUUGACCACUAGCAUCUCCUCUCUUGAUUUGUGACACUAAUAGAUAUAUUCAUAAGCCCAGCCAAGACAAUCUUGUAUCAUUCUAUGUUUUAAAAACCCAUACUGAUUGAUAUGAACCAUUUGUAGAAUCACUUUCUGAAGUCUGCUGGCUAACAAUUUGGUGAUGAUUUUCAUAAUUCCAUUUAGCAAAGAAAUAGGUCUGAAGUCAUUAGGUGUGAGGGGUACCUCCUUUUUUGGAAUUAAGGUGAUGAAGGAGGUGUUGAUGCUCUCAAGAUUCACAGUGCCAGCAUGAAAAGCCAUUAUUAGUGCAGCAGUAUCCUCCUUAAUAAUGUCCCAGCAGGCUUUAAUGAAUUCAUUGUUGAAGCCAUCUGGACCUGGAGAUUUGUCAUUUGGCAAGUUUUUCACUACAUCAUCUAUCUCUUCUUGUGUGAAAGGUCUCUCCAGCUCUUGAAAAGUUUGAGGAUCAAUUUUGUGCUCAUAUAAGUCAUGUAGAUCAAAGUACAUAUUGUGGCCAUUGGACUGUCCAAGUCUUUUUCUGAAAGCCUCCCAAAGAAUAGGAGCUUUCCCCUCAUGGUCAGUGACUUCCAUCUGAUCCUCAUUCACCAGCAUUGCAAUCUUAUUGUGUCUAUGAUUUAUUGAAGCCUUAGUGUGAAAGAAUUUAGUGUUUUCAUCACCAAACUGAACUCUUUUAAUUUCCCCCCACUAUUUCCAGUAAAUCUUCUGAUUAUUAAGUACCACUAGCAAAUAUUCUUUUAGCAAAAUCCUGCAAUUUGCUUCAACCUGUGUUAGGUCUCUGUUCUCCUCAAUCAUGUCCCAAAGAAAGAUGCAAGCAUUUAGUUCUUCAAUUUGCUUUUUCAAACAAGAGAUGCUCUUGGCCCAGAGUUUGAGUGCUCUUCUCAAAUUUUUAAAUUUAGCAUUAACCCUCUUAGCAGGAUCAGUGAAACCCACUGGAAUAUUCCAGGCAGCUUGAACAAUUUCCUUAAAAGAGUUGUGCUUCAACCCAUAAUUUUCAAACCUGAAAACCUUAGACCUGGGAAUACUUGUUCCAAUUUUGAUCAUACAAGGGAUGUGAUUAGAGAUAGGUUUGGAUAGAUUAAGAGCAGUAGAAUCAAGGAAAGAUGUCAUCCAAGCAGCUGAUGUGAAAAUCCAAUCAAGCUUUCCCAAAAGUGGGCUAUCUUGCAUGUUACUCCAACUAAAUUGUCUACCUUUUAAGGGCAGCUCAACCAACCCAUGAUUACUGAUAGCCUCAUUGAACAACAACAUCUGAUUGAUAUCCCCUCCUGGUUUAUUUCUAUCCUCUGGAGAUCUUAUGAAGUUGAAAUCUGCCAUGAUUAUCCAUUCAGCCUCAUUAUCCAUUUGAAUAGAAUUUAACCAAUCAAUAAAUUCCAGCUUCUCCUCAUGAUUGCAAGGUCCAUAAAUAUUGGUAAGUAUCCAUGAGUGAUUAGAAGUAUUGCAUGUAAACUGAACUGUGAGAGAGAAUUUGUUUUGAAAGAGCAUUUCCCCAUUGAAGAGGGAUUCAUUCCAUGCAGUCAAAAUACCACCAGAAGCUCCAACUGAGGGUAGGAAUUCAAACUUAUUAUAUCUUUGUGGACAGAAGUUAUGAAUGUAAGCAAGAUCAAACACUUCUCUUUUAGUUUCCUGAAUACAAACAAUACGAGUAGCACUCUCCUCAAUUUUUUGUCUGAUGGCUAAGCACUUAUCUGAGGAAUUAAUACCCCUGACAUUCCAAUUCAGUAUGUUCCAAGAUCUGUUAUUAUUCAUUAACACUAAGAAUCAGAUUGAUUGUAAACACCAAGUACCAUCCCCUGGUGCCAAACCCUGUAUGAAAUAGGUACACAUGCACAACACCAACUGCAUAUCUCCACCUCACAAGAACAACACAAUCAUAGGCAUUGACACAAGCAAUUUCCAGGAUAAUCACAUUACAGUUGUCCCACAAAACCCUCCUCACAAAGUCUUGGUUACACACAUGAAAUUGAAAAGACCUCCCACUAGUAACCCAAAAGUGGUAGAGAGCAGCAUAACCAUAAGCAUUACAUCUGUGUUCAGAAUUAAGCACAACCAUCCUACACUAUCCAUGCUGAAAGAAAAAUAGGUGGAGAAGCUUUCUGAAUAGUAUGUAGGUGUGUUGUCCAAUCAUGGUUGCACAGCAUGAGGGUGUUCAGCAUCUCCAGUGGCCUUGGGAACCUUGGCCACCUCCUCCUUGUCCUUUUUCUUUAGUUUCUUGGACAACUUCUCAUGAGCUUCUUCCUCAGAUACCUUGUAGAAACUCUUUGUCAGAUUUUUGACAAUUUUAUUAGGAACUGUUGGAGGUAAAGCAUGACAUGGUAGGCAUGUUUUAGAAGCACAGGAAUUCCUCCUAUAACCAUUAUUAUCUCUUUUAAUACUGUCACUCCUUCUUACCUCUGUUUCCACCAAAGGUUCUUUGUCCUUUCUCUUCCUUCAAACUACCUCCACAAGAGGCAGGAUGAGGAUUUUAUUUGGGGACACCUGCUGCAGUGGGAUCCCAGUGCCAUUAGAAGAGUGUGCAGCUAGGCUUAUUCCCUCAUUUUCCUUGCCAGAGCCCUGCAUGAAGUCCUUGCAGCUAGGAGCCUGAGAAGUGGAGCAAGUAUCAGGAAUAUGAAAAGAGAUAGUUUCUUCAGUAGAACAGUUUGCAGUCAACAAAGUCCAGAGCUCUGAUUUGAGCAGCUUCGUAAUCCAACCAAACUUAUCAGGAGUUAAUAGGAGAUGUAUUAUGAAGUUGAACCAACUUAUAGGUAUAGCAAUCUUAAAUGUGUUAGAUUCCCCCUGGGUGGCUGGAGCAAAAUGUUGUAUCCAAAGGUCCAAACCUUCUUCACAGAUCAAAUGAGAACCAUCAAUAAUAUCCAUAGCAUGUGAUUGAACAAUAUUUUGCACAUCAAAAGAGUUUGGGGAACAAGGAGCAGAGUGAGGACCAAAAGUACCUUUCUUACUAACAUCAGAAGGCUCCACCAUUACAUUUCCCUUUCCUUUAACAGCAGCCACCUCCACUUCAUUCCUUGAAAUCAUACUCUUAGUGCACUUUACUAUAAUAUUAUCUCUCUCACUAUCUGCAGCUCCUUCGAAAGCACUGUCAACUGCAGCAGAACUGCCAACAACCAGGAUAUUCUUACUUGCAACAUUCUCAGCAACCUGCAUAGAUACUUGAUUAACAGCUUGUGGUUGGGCCUCGGGAGCAAUCUGGUCCUGCAGGAUAAGAAGAGGGCCCUGCAGUUCCAAUGGCUGGGGUCCAGGAGCUGACAUUUCCUCCACCCUGGCCUCCUGGAUUGGCUCAGCCUCCUCUGGGUCUUCCUGGUAAGCUAGUGCAAUAUUAUUUAAUCCCAUGCCAAAUUGUGGUGCCUGAGCACCCUGGUUUACCUCCUCACUAGCAGAAUGUGUAAGAGAAAGCAGUCCAUCAGACAAAAAAACUGUUCUUGUGAUGCCACUAUGGGGAGCACCAUCUUCAGGAAGAAUAGGUAUCUCCAACUGUUGCUGCAUAGGUGCAGGAGGGUUUUGUUGUGGAAAAGCCCAGUGAUCAUUCUCCUCUUGCUCAUCCCACUAUCCCACUCAUCAUUGUUGUCAUGAUCAUUUUGCACAAGUAAAGGCUGGAACCCAGGGAAGUCAUUAGCAUGCUGUGGCACUGGAUGUGGGUCCACCCCACGAGGAGGAUUGGAUCCUCAUCAGCAGGUCCACCUCCUAGCAUUUCCUCCCACAGAACUUCAACAGAACAGGUCCAAGAUUCCUCCUCAAAACUUUCACCUUCAGACCAUCUGAUACUUUUGGGUACAUCCAUGAGCUCAGUGACUCUAGCCUUGACCAAAACCAUUCCCCUAAGAGCAUCUUCUUUUUCCUAGCUAAUGAUCCUGCCCCAUUUGGAAAUGGCGGCAGCAAUAUCAUCUGUGUUACAAUAGUCAAAAGGCACACCCACAAAUAGCAACCAACAGAUUCUAUUAAGAUGGACUCUACGCCAGUUUGUGCCUUGAUUAUGGGGAGUAAAAGUGAGAAAAAAAUCCCCAAACUGAUGAGGACUCUGCCUGACCAAUCUGUCCCUGUCCCUGACAUGCCUGAACUGAAUAUACGCUUCCCCAAAAGGACAGGGAUGAAUCUCUCUAAACUGAACUUCUUCAACCUCUUGAAAAAACUCCUCAAGAACAUCUCGAACAUUAGGUAAGAAUACCUCAUUAGGAUGUGGGUGUAUAGUGACAAUCGCCCAAUCUUCGUGCCGACGCGGGUGGUGCGGCAAUACCACCCAAGAAACCCCAUUGCGCCCCUCCACUAGCAGUAUCUGAAAGCCUUGCGGGACAAACGGGGCUGGAUCAAUGGGGAUGUUAGCCAUUGUUGUCUCUGUCGACACGCAGAGCCUCAAAGGCCUCCCCAGAGAAGAUGAAGUUGGCGAGCUUGACGAGGUUGCAGCAGAGCUGGUAGGUGAGGGGGAAUGCGAGGAGGCAAGUAGGGGUCUUGGCUGAAAAUUUGGAAAAAGGUCCUUGACUAGCUCCUGAAAUGUCGAGACUUUCCUUAACGGUAAUGCUGGCCCAUUGAGGCGAAACCAAGAUUCCACCUGGCCGUCGGCCCAGGCCUGCUCCGGAGGACAUGGGAAAGAGAAAAAAGGAAUAAAAUCCCAAAGCCCAGGAAGAUUGGGCCUAGUGCAAUUACGCGCGUAAUGCCCCUACUCCCCGCAUGCAUAGCAUGAGACAUGCAUAUUGGUACGUUGCCUUUGGGCAAUAACUUGGAGCUCAUUACGCUCUCCAUCAUUAUGACUCGAAGCAAUGGCCAUCAUACCCCCCCUGAUCAUUCCCCUCAUGAAUGCGGCCUGAUAAACGCUUAAACACUGAUCUGGUAUUCCGGCUAGCCGGAGCCUCAGUCCGGCGAUCGCUGGAGUUUGGUUGAACAGCUUUACCAUGCCUACCCACUAACGUCCAUUCUUGAUCAAGCUCAGCAUAAAAAGCUCUCUCUUCUCUAAGCCAAUUUGGACCACCAUAAUUCCAGAGAUUAAAAACCAUUUCAAACUCUUUCUCAACCACUUUACCCGCAUUAUAAAUCUCAAAACCCACUGAUUUGGAAGCAACUGAAAACUUGAACGAUCUAUCUUUGAGGUGACGGGCCCUAAAACCUUGAGCAUAUCCACCAAACAUAGCAUGGAGGGAAACACUAACCGUGUGAGGAUCAAGUUUGAACGUAGCUCUGCAAAAGGAAACCACCACCAUGAACUCUCAUUGACAAAACCCCGGUGAGAAAACCAUCGGGUACCCAAACUUCUGCCUCAUGUCCGCUUGGAAUUUCUUACCCUGAUCAAAGUUGAUGGCAAAAGGUGCCAUGGUGUGUCUGUUGGGGCCGGAGUGGCACACCACAGGAAGAGGUGCCUACCGGGGCCGGGGUGGCCACCGGCAAGGGAGAAGGUGGUGGACCAUUUCUCUUGUUUUCCCUCAUGUUCUUCCACGCGUUCUUCGUGUUCCCCGUAGGGAUCCUCUCCAAACAUGAAAGAUCGGCCCCUAGGGUACUGCCCUACAUCAGAUCAUAAGAUCAUUCAUGCUAGAAACUUCUGUGUGUAGCCACAAGCUAUUAUGGGCUCUAACAUAGUUGAGUAUGUUGCAUGACCUCUUUUAGUGGUAGGCUAGCAGAUGUAGGGGAUGUAGGUUGGUACUGUCUACCCAGAGUAAAGAGUUAAUGCUUCUGAAAGACUGUGUCUCGGUCAUCUGUUUCUCAAACAUCAUGUAGUGCGAGAAAUCCAAUGGAGGAGAUCGAGUCUUGUGGGGAGAAGUGCGCAAACCUCUGUAGAGUGUACAAACUAAUCAUGGUUAGCCAUGUUCCCGGUUAUGGACAUUUUGAGUAUCUAGUUCUUGGAUUAUCAUGUUGAUCUCAUCACUCUAUAAUUAAAUUGUUGGGUUGUUAAUAAUUACUUCUAAUUGGGAUUGAGAGGGGGAUUACCUUCUCAAUGUUUUCAACAAACUUUGUAGUUAAAUAAAAUAUAUUCUUUUGCAGUAGGGAAAAAUUGGCUUUUUGCAAAAACAUUAUAACCAUAGAGCUUUUCCACCAGCCAUAUAUGCAUGUAGUGAUAGUUAUUAUUCAUCAUUAUCCUGUGGUGUGAAUUUGCCAGUACAUUCAAUGUACUGACCUACAUGGCUGCAACCUCUCAUGUUGCAGGAUUUCCUUACGACGAGUAAGUGACACAUUAGGGUUACAAUUUCUACACUCAACUUUGCCGUUGGUGUUGAUGGGAACCCACCACCUUGUUGUUUCUUCCGCUUUAUGGAUUGAGGUAAUAGUAUUUACGUUACUUUAUACAUGUGAAUUACCUCUGUUAUAAAUCCUCGAGUACUGUGUGUGUCAGCAUACCGAUCUAGGGAUGACACUUAAGCACACAGACUUGACCGUCUGAGGUCGGGUCACUACAAGAUGGUAUCAGAGCACAUGUUGACUGUAGGACGUGACCCUAGAAACUGGCAAGCCAAUAGGAAGAUUUAUUCUCUACAACUUUCUUUUCAAUAAGAUCUUUUACCUCUCUUCUCUUUUGAGCUUAUUCAAAUUUUCCCUUUUUAGUGAGACUAUACCCCUUUCCCCUUUUUGACCAUGAAGAUUCAACUGAUGAGACCACUCCAAGAAGGACAAGAUAUCGGACAACAAAGACCACUUCGGAAUGAAGAGUAUUUUACCAAGCAUUUGUUAUAAUUACAAUAGUUGAAGACUCCGAAGACUAGGAGAAUUUGAAGGCCCUGUAGAAUUUUUCCAGAUUUGUAUGACCUAGGAAGGCACCCCUUAUGGAACAUGGCAGACUAUGGAAGUUGUGAAUACCUGAGAUCAAGGUGUAUCAGAGAAAGACCGGAACAUGGAGCAUUAGAACUCAAAGUUUUGUCAAGAAAACCCUAAGGCAGGAGAUAUCGACUAUGGAAUGAUAGCUCAUGGAAAUGACAAGAGCAGAAACAUGGACAUUCAUGAUGUUAUUGUCCGCCUAUGCUAUUGUCACCACACUGAGUUAAGCAUGCAUAUGCAUGGAAGGAUUGGAUGGUAGAAGGCUGAUGGAGGAUCUGUCAGCAAAGGAUGCAGUUUAACGUAGCUGGUGUAUCACCAGGAUCUGGAGUAUUACAUCAAGAAGUUUAGGGUGGAUCUGCAGGAAGCCGUAUUUGACAAGGAAGUAGUUCGUGAAGGACUCAGGACCCAGAAGAUUGAAAUAGCCAAGCUGGAGGAGCAAAACCUUGAGAUACCGGAGAUUUAUCAGGAACUAAAGGACAGUAUAACCAUGGCUCAUGACAAAGAUGUUGAAACCCAGAAGCUUGGAGCACAACUCCAGAAGUAUUACAGGACGUCGCGAGAGACUUCGUGUCGACAGAAAUGACCUGGUAGAAAGAACUUGAGAAGGACAAGAACAAUCGGAAGAAGCCCAUUGGAAACAUGGACUGGAAGAGCUUGGUGACUUUGAAGAUUUAUUGACCUUUAGAGGACCAAACCCCUGUUAUAUACUUACUUUAGAUGUGACGAUUGUGAGCUGUCAUUUGUUUGUAGUUUUUCCGACAGCCACAAUAAAAAUCUAUCUUUUCAAAAUAUUAUUAGUAUUGUGUGUAUCCCUCCCUAUCUCUCUUAUCUCACCCCAAAACCCAUGGACCCAAUAAAGGAUGAAUGGAGAUGGAAGAGUAUUUCCGAGAUUCCUGACACAACCGGAGGUAGCACACUGGAUACAGAACAUGGAAGAUCGCAUGAAGGAGCACGGUAUUGAAGGAGAGUAUAUGGUUCCAUACACCCUACGAAAGAUCACACAAGGUGCUGCAAAAUGGCGAGAGAUACAUCAAACCAUACAAGGAUGGAAUGGAACAAAUGUUUGGGAUGAAUUUAAGACCAUUCUACUGAGGUUCCGUCUUACCUGAAAGCUAGGUGAACCUAAAGAGAAGAAGCCUUGUGCAUGUAAGAUUUGUGGAGAAAUGGGACACACCCAUAAAGAACACAAGGGUGAAUGCCCUAAUUGUGAAGGAAGUCACCCAACUGAAGGAUGCCCAACUAGGCAGAUCACUUGUUUCUUGUGUGAAGGGACUACCCACUACCCUGCACAAUGUCACCUUUACCCCAUGGUACAAAUGACCCUCCAGCAGAAGAAAGAAGCAAUUGAAGGAGCCCUUAUGGAAAUUUUAGAAGAACCUGUGAUGAAGGAAGAGGUGGAGGACACACCCGAAGGGGACCCAGUUAAACCCUGCACUAAGUCUUGCUAUUCGUGUGGAGAAGAAGGACACUUUUCCCAGAAUUGUGUGAAGGAACAUCUAGUAGCAUUCCCGACAGAAGAAGUAGAGUAUGACCCACAAGAAAUAGAAGCCCUGAUUGGAACAGAAAAGUCCAGGAAGAGAAAUAGAUUGGAUUCAAUUUCUGCAGAGAAGGAUCUGAGUCAUAUCACCUGUUACAGGUGCAAGGAUUUAGGUCAUUACGCCUAUAAAUGUCCAAAGAAGAAAUACGCCGAUAAAUGUCGAAAGAGGAAGCCAAGAGCCCAAAGGGUGGACACCAUCCCCAAGAAGCCUAAAGACUUAUCGGAAGUUAUUUGUUUACGCUGCAGGGAAAUAGGACACUAUGCUAAUAAAUGUCCCAACAAGAUGAAAGCUGGAGCUAAGUAGUUGAGAAUUUAAUAUUGGUAAUAAGUGUGGUAGAAAGCAUUUUUUUCUUCUUGGGGAUAUGGAGUGAGUUAUGGAAUGGAAGUUUGGGAUAUUGUAAUGAAUUCAUGAAAUCAAUAAAGUACUUGUGUCAUGAUUUCAUAUGCUGAAUCUUUAUGAGUUGUUACUCUAUGAAGAAAUAUCUUGACCAUUUUCGAGGAUAUGAGAAAUAUGGUCUACGGAUGAAUUGGAGCAUUUUAAGGGUGGUAGUACCCUGUGAGGAGAUUUGACCCCUGGAAAGGAUAAUGAUAUUCCACGGAGUGGACUUCGGACAAAGUAAGUAUGAGUUUUAUGUUGAUAUGUGGGAUACCCCGAGAAUAUGAAUGAUGAAGUAUUAUGGGAUAUAAAGGAGAUAUAAGGUUGGUAAUAUGGAGCAAUUGUAACUCCAUGAUGAGUUUGAGUAAUCACUUCUUAGUUUGGUACCAGUAGAAGGAAGGGAGACGGUACAAUUGGAUGGGUUUAAGAAAUGCUAGGAAGUUGGAUGUUGGAAAUAUGGCCAGUUGCCCCAAGGAUGAGUUCAAGGUUUACAAGUGAUGAGAUGGGACAUAACCCACAGGCCCCAGGACCUGCCAAGAAGCAAGCACAUUCUUGCUGAAGGAAAAACCUUGGAAGAAGUUACGCUUUUAUUGACAGACGAUCUUAUAGGAGUUACGGAAAAACAUGAGCGAUGUGAAGAAACGAUAGAUGUUUGUUUGGCUUGCAGAAUCAAUGGAUUUAUCUGAACUUGGUUCAUCGACAAGAGAAAGUCUGCAAUGCUUGUGAGGAUGACCGAGUGUUAGAAUGUGAGAUUCGCUAAACCAUAUACAAGAUAAUGAUUUGGGUGCGGGAUGGAUUGAUCACCAUACCAACUUACUCUUAUUAUUCGUCUUGUUAUAUGGGAUGGUAAAUCUGAGUGACUUACCUAUAGUAGAGAGACGACGAUCAAAACCUUGUUUGAACCUUAGAAUGUUAUGACGUUUUUUCCCUUGUACAAGGCAGUUGUUGACAAUCGUAGGACAUACGGUGAGGUUCAAGCCAGAUCUAUUUCCUGCAGGAGAAACCAUAAAUUGCUGACCACCAUGAGAUACCGAUAGUUGAUAAGUAUUGGCGCCAGACCCGUCUGCUAAGAAGACCCAGUCUCGGAAUAACCUUACCCAGAUAAGAAGACAGAAGAAUUGAGGAAAAGGUUAUGCCACUACCGGAAGAGCCCAGAGAAGGAAUUUUCCCGAGAUUUGAGAAGUCCGACACUGUCAAAAGAUAAGGAUGAAGUAUAAGAGUUUUGAUGGAACCGUAUCAAUGCUUCUAAGGGUGGUAGCACCCCAGACCCCCUAUGAUGAUCGAUGGAUUUUGAGAAGACCCCCAAACCUAACCUAUUUCUUUCUAGCCUCUCCGAAUCUCGAGGACGAGAUUCAUUUUAAGGGUGGUAGGUUUGUAACAUCCCAAAAUUCUAAAUUUUGGAAUGUUAUAAUAAAUAGAUAGUUUUGAUUGAUUGUAUGAUUGCUUGCGUGAAAUUGAGUGAAAUUCGAAACUUUUUUGAAAGUUAAAUGAGAGGGAAUAAAAGGACUUUCCCAAACUUUCAUUUUUCAUUUAUGGUCUCCAUGAAUUCAAAUUCAUUCCAUCAUAAAACCCUAGAGAGAAGAUGACAUGACUUCUUCCAUUUAACUACAUGAAAAAAAGGGUUUUGAAAAGAUUUGAAUUUCAUUCAGAAAUAUUUUUCCAAUUCAUAAACUUCAUGCAACUCAAUGAUUUUCAUAAGAGAAGAUAAAAUGACUUCUUCAAACAUAUGAAAUAUGAGUUGGAAGUUUCUAAGAUUUUCAAAUUAAAAAGCCCUUUUGAAACUAUUUUCAAUUUGGGGUUAUUUGGAUUUUAUUCAAAUUAUUUUUCUCCAAAAUAAAAAUAUAUGGAAAAAUAGGGUAACAUGAUUCCGUACAUCAUAAAAUUGGAGAUAAAUAAAUUUGAAAUCAUUUUGUUUUUUUAAAUGAUUUUUUAUUGGAUUUUAGCAGGGCAGUAUCACUCCUUAAAUUAUUUGAAUUAUUUCUCGAUUUUAUUUGUCUAGACAAAAAUGUCCAUAGUGUAGAAAAUCUCGAUUCAUAUUACUCAAACUCAUUUUUUCGGUGAGGGAAGUGCGAAUUGAUUUGGUACGUACAUUAUUACAGGUUAGGCAUGUCCCUUAAAUUCAAUUGGCGCCUUGUUAUCCCGAAAAUUCAGAUAUUGUGCUCUCAAAACUCGCGCCUUCACAACCCGCACCUUGCUAUUCCGAAAAUACAAUGUGCGGGAAAACUCCCUCCAGCUGCCAAAUCCCGACACGCGAAAUCCCCCUUCUAACCCUGUGCCAGUAGGGCCGCUAGAUCAAAUCAGUGGGGGUGCUUUUGUAACACACCCUACAUUUUGUACAAGUGCAUCCCUAAGUCAUAGUUCCCCCCUCCCAUCACUUCCUUUUCACCAUUUGAAAUCCCCAUUCGAAAUCAUAGGCCGCCAUAACCUCUCUGCUCCAGCCGCGAAACCCCACCCUCCUCUAUCCGCCACCCCACCACGGCCCAGCUAGAGCCUCUUCCCUGACGACGUCGUCCAGCACAAGAGCUCGAUGUCCCUCAUCCACCGCCCCGGAUGAGGAUCCAUCGUCGAUCUCGUCGUCCCGCCGGUUCAGCCGCCCCAUCCUCCACCUCCAAGGAGCUACUCCAACGAUCUCCUUGUCUAGCGCGGCUGCUCCAUCCCCACAACGCCACCUUAACCUGCUCCACCGGAACUACAACAUCCUCACCGAAUCCUCGGACGAAGCUGAGGUCUACUCGGCGCCACCAAAGAGGUUGUACACUCAUCGCAUCGCACCUUCUCCUUAAAUUGGCAUCCCGGCGCCAUCGGUUCUCGAUCCCGCUCCCCCAUGGCACGGCUACCCCAUAGUUGGCGCCACCGACGACAUCUCCACGGUGUCUCUCCCCCAGUGCGAGGCUCCCUCGGCGGCGGCGGCCAUACCAACCGGAGCUGGUCUAGCUGCUCCGCCUCUCGCUCGUUCACGCUGCUGCUGCUCCAUCUCUCGCUCGGUCGCGCUGCUGCUCUGCUCUCCCCCUCGCUCGUGCUGCUGCUCUGCUCUUACUCUCGCUUACACUGCUGGCUAGUACAUGGGCUGCUGCAGCUACACGAGUUGCUGCUCUGGCUCUAGUUUGUGCUCCUCCUCCAAGCAUUGCUACUCUGGCUGCUAUCUGCUAUUGUGUUCCCCAUCGAUCAUCUGCUGAUUUAGAUCAUUGUUUCUCUACUACUAGUGCUCGAGCCGCCUAAACUACAUGUGAAGUGCCUCUUUGAUACCAGUGCGUUUAGUUUCGACUGUAACAUUCAGAUUUCAUAGUAAAUUUCAGUUUCGAUAGCUAAGUUCAGAGUCAACGGUUUUUACCUCAUCUGUUGUAGUCAGGUGUCUUUUCGUGAUGUAAAUUUUACAUCUAUCCUUUUUGGUAAUGUAUUUUACAUCACCUAUUGGAGAUGCUAUUAGAAUCCCACUUGAGAUUACUGAUGUCUAUCUCGUACUGCAUCAUCCUCGAUGUCUUAUGGCUCGCCAGAGCUGCUCCAAUGAUGGAACCAUCCGUCACAACAGAGCAGUGCAUUGGACGCCAUCUACAGAUGCCUCAGAUCUUCCUCCACACCUCCGACAGCCACCUCUACCGCAACUUCUUCAGCGAUCAACCCAAUGAUGCUGAGUUCGACACGGCUACACCAAAGAGUUGUACACUUGUCUCAUCACUUAUUACUCUACAUUUAUGUAGACCCAUUAGGGCUAUUUUGGUUCAAAGGAAAAAGUGAAGGAAAAACAUAGCAAUAGGAAAUUUUCCUAUGGCACUCUACUAUUCAAUUAUUCAUGCAUUUCGUUGAAAGGAAUGGAGAAUAACAUCCACCUGGACCUACUUUUCAAAAUCCUAUGCAUGAAACAAGACUAAGUGCAUUAGUGGUAGAGUAACAUUCUAACUGUACACACUUUCAUAUGGUUUCACUUUAAUUUGGCCAUGUUUCUUUAAAUUCCUCUGCUCAUCCAAUUCAUGUGAACCAAACACCCAAGUUGAUAGCAAUCCUGUGUUUACAAAUGCUCUGUUUCCCACGUGCAUGCCUAUCCUAUUCCAGUGUUUUUCCUAUCCCUAUGUUUUUAGAAUCAAGCAAGCCAAAUGAGCCCUUAUAGAAUUACUUCAGUUAUAGAUAGGUGUCAAAGAAAAAUUUGUGUGGUUUGUCCUGCUCCUGUAGCGAUGUAGUCCACCUCACCUGAGCUACUCCAUUGAUAGAAGCAUCCACCAUGUUUCACUGCCUCGGAUCUCCUUCCCUGCCGCCGGCACCCACCGUAACUACUUCACCAUCAUCGACUCAGCAGAUGAACCUGAGGAGUACACGGGUCCACAAGAGAGGUCACACUCUUUUGUUUCUGCUUAUGUUAUGCAUUGCUUAAUAUUACCUGCUACUCUAUCGUCCUGUUCACCUCUUAGACUCCAAGUUAGGUCCAAAUUAAUGUUCAAACUUGAGUUUAAAAUUACUUGUGGGGCACAUAUCAAGGCAGCAAUGAAUAGUAUCUCUGUCUAUUAUCUGGUUCACCUAGGGUAUGCAUAUGUUGUUCAUCUUGGGUGGGAAACAAAUAGUAAACCAAUCAUGAUCUGUCUUUUUAUUAAAUUAAAGCUACCAUCAUCCUGCUAUCAUUAUUUUUGGAUCCAUCUACUGGUUGUUACAACCACUCUAGAUUUCUGCAUGCUCUCCUUACAUAAUCUCACUAUAUUUUUUCAUAUGCAUGUCAGAUAUUGUACACAGUCAUGUUGAACAUGUAGAGAAAAAUAGAAGAGUUUUGCGUGGCAGUAUAAUGUCAUGCAGACAUUGCUCCAUGGUGGGUUCAGUGUCAAACCCUCCCCCUCUACAGAUUGUCAUCCAUAGGAAGAUAUCUAUUCUGAGGCGGAUUCAGACACAGCUGACCACUUCUAUUUACCCCAAGGUGUUCGCUCUAACUUGGCAUGAUGAUGUUGGUCAUAUCAUGCAUAUGUUGCCUUGCAGUGCCUACUUUCGACAUCAUAUAUGUCAUCUGCUUAGCUUAGACAUGUUCUGUACUGCCACCUAUUUAGUUUCUAUAUCAUAUAUGAGAAUUAUGCAGUCUCAUCUCCUUUAGCCAGCCAUAAUAUAUGUGAAAUAUGCAAUGCCAUCCUGUUUAACCAGGCAUCAUAUAUUUGAAUGAUAUCUUGCCAAUCCUUUUCUUCAUUAAAUUUCUAUUUGUCCACAAUGUUUGUACAUUAAACUACUCUUCCUGUGAAUCAGCCAUUUGAGUGGGUGAUGGAAAAUUUUGGAGUGAAAACAAGGUCUUUAGAGCAGACAGUGCUACUUGUCGAAGCAGAUCUCUUGCUGGAUCCUGAUAGCUCCUCAUAGAUGGAUUCAGAGAUGGAUGACCAGUCCUAUUCCCCCACUGAGGUGUAUGCUCUAACUUGGCACGGUUAUACUGCUCAUCUCAUGCAUAUGGUGUCUUCCAUUGCAUAGUUUAGACAUCAUAUACACAAUAUUCAACACCAAUUUUCUUAGUUCAGACAUCAUAUAUGCGAAUGCCCUCGGCUUAGUAUAUAAAUCACAUAUGUGAAUUAUAUCAUGCGAUCAUGAUUACUUAGAUAACAUUGUAUGUGAAUUAUGUCAUGUGAACCUGUUUACUAAAGACAUCAUAUGAUUAUCUCAUGCAAUCCUAUUUAGUUAGUCACCAUAUCUUUGAAUUAUGUCAUGCUAUGCUAUCUAGUUUAGAUAUACAUUAUAUAUGUGAAAUUAUGUCAUGCUUUCCUUUUUAGUUAAACAAUAUACAUGUGAACUAUUUCAUGCCCUCUUUUUUCCACACUAUUUAUUGCAUCUGUCUCUCAUACAAGGUUUGUACAUUCAACUAUAUUUCCUAUUUAUCAGCCAUUUGAAUUGGAGCGGGUGAUGGCAGUAUCUAGCAGAGUAAAAACACGGUCUUCAAAUAAAAUAUUGCUACCUCUUGGUGGAGAUAGCACCCCAGUUGUAUAUGCACGAGAACCAGCCCUACCACACAUAACCCAGACUCUUGUAGAUUGUACCCCUACUACUUUGGACAGAAACCCAGCUUCACCCAAUCUAACCCCAACCCCAACAGAUAGUAACCCAGUUCCUGUUGACACCGCAUGCUACUUCUUGAGCUUGCGUUGGUUUUUCCCUUGAAGAGGAAAGGGUGAUGCAGCAAAGUAGAGAUAACUAUUUCCUUCAGUUUGAGAACCAAGGUAUCAAUCCAGUAGGAGAAGAACACACAAAUCACCAAUACCUGCACAAACAAUCAAACAACUUCCACCGAACGCGAUAAAGGUGUUGCUAAUCCCUUCACGGUUGCUUGUGAAAGUUAGAAUCUGAUAGAGAUAGAUCAACAAAAGAUAAAAUAUUUUUGGGUUUUUUUGGUUUAUAGAUCUGAAAAUAAAAGAUAGCAAAAUAGUAGAUCAAAAACUAAUAUGAUGGAAAAUAGUAGAUUGGAAACUAAUAUGAUGGAAAAUAGAAGAUGGGAAACUAAUAUGAUGGAAAAUAGACCCAGGGACCAUAGCUUUCACUGGAGGCUUCUCUCAUGAAGGCACAUAAUACAGUGGGUGAACAAAUUACUGUCGAGCAAUUGAUAAAAAAGUGAAAAGUUAUGAUGACAUCCAAGGCAAUGAUUAUGCAAUAUAGGCAUCAUGUAUGUAUCAAGUAGACCAACUCCUGCCUGCAUCUACUAGUAUUACUCCACACAUCGACUGACUCUUGCUUGCAUCUAGAGUAUUAAGUUCAUAAAGAAUAGAGUGACGCAUUAAGUAAGAUGAGAUGAUGUAGAGGAAUAAACUCAAGCAAUAUGAUGUAAACCCCAUCUUUUUAUCCUCGAUUGCAACAAUACAAUACGUGCCUCGCUACCCCUACUACGUCACUGGGUGAGGACACCGCAAGUUUCAACCAAAAGUUAAGCACCUCUCCCAGUGCAAGAAAAACAAAUCUAGUUGGCCAAACCAAACCGAUAAUUCAAUGAGAAAUACAAAGAUACCAAAUCAUGCAUAUAAGAAUUUAGAGGAGAUUCAAAUAAUAUUCAUUGAUAAGCUGAUCGUAAAUCCACAAUUCAUCGGAUCUCCACAAACACACCGCAAAAAGGUAUUACAUCGGAUAGAUCUCCAAGAACAUCAAGGAGAACAUGGUAUUAAGAAUCAAAGAGAGAGAAGAAUCCAUCUAGCUACUAACUAUGGACCCAUAGGUCUGUGGUGGACUACGCACGCUUCAUCAGAAGGGUAAUAGAGUAGACGUAGAUGCCCUCCAUGAUUGAAUCCCCUUCGACUGGAUUCCGGAAAAGGCCCCUAGAUGGGAUCUCACGAGAAUAGAAGGUUGCAGCGGUGGAAAGUGUUUUCGUGGAUUCUUCUGAGGGUUUGGGAAUAUAUUGCAAAUAUAUAGGAGGAAGAUCUAGGUCAGGGGGUCACCGAGGGGCCCACAAGGUAGGGGGCACGCCCUACCCCCUGGGCGCGCCCUCCACCCUUGUUGCCGCCUCAUGGCUCUUCUGACUUGCACUCCAAGUCUCCUGGGUGUCUUCUGCUAUAAGAAAAAUCAUCGUGAAGUUUUAUUCCAUUUGGACUCCGUUUAGUAUUCCUUUUCUGCGAAGCUCAAAAACAAGGAAAAACAAAAACUGACAUUGGGCUCUAGGUUAAUAGGUUAGUCCCAAAAAUAAUAUAAAAUAGCAUAUUAAUGCAUAUAAAACGUCCAAAACAAAUAAUAUAAUAGCAUGGAACAAUAAAAAAUUAUAGAUAUGUUGGAGACAUAUCAAGAAUCCCGAAGCUUAAUUCCUGCUCGUCCUCGAGUAGGUAAAUGAUAAAAAUAGAAUUUUUCAUGUGGAAUGCUACCUAACAUAUUUAUCAAUGUAAUUUUCUUCAUUGUCGCAUGAAUGUUCAGAUCCAUAAGAUUAAGAACAAAAGUUUAAUAUUGACAUAAAAACAGUAAUACUUCAAGCAUACUCAUAAAGAAAUUUAAUUUUUUCUCAAAAUAACAUGGCCAAAGAAAGGUAUCCCUACAAAAUCCUAUAGUCUGGCUAUGCUUCAUCUACAUCACACAAAAUAUUCAAAUCAUGCACAACCCCGAUGACAAGCCAAGCAAUUGUUUCAUACUUUUAGUGUUCUCAAACUUUUUCAACUUUCACGCAAUACAUCAGCGUGAGCGAUGGACAUAGCACUAUAGGUGGAACAGAAUAUGGUGGUUGUGGAGAAGACAAAAAAAGGAGAUAGUCGCACAUCAACUAUGCAUACCAACGGGCUAUGGAGAUUCCCAUCAAUAGAUAUCAAUGUGAGUGAGUAGGAAUUGCCAUGCAAUGGAUGCACCGGAGCUAUAAGUUUAUGAAAGCUCAAAAAGAAACUAAGUGGGUGUGCAUCCAACUCGCUUGCUCACGAAGACCUGGGGCAAUUGAGGAAGCCCCUCAUUGGAAUAUACAAGCCAAGUUCUAUGAUGAAAAAUUCCCACUAUUAUAUGAAAUUGACAAAAUAGGAGACUCUCUAUCAUGAAGACCAUGGUGCUACCAUGAAGCACAACUGUGGAAAAAGGAUAGUAACAUUGCCCCUUUUUUCUUGUUCUCUCUCUCUUUUUUGUGUGGGCUUCUUUGGCCUCUUUUUUUCUUUUAUUUUUCAUCCCGAGUCUCAUUCCAACUUGUGGGGGAAUCAUAGUCUCCAUCAUCCUUUCCUCACAUGGGAUAAUGCUCUAAUAAUGAUGAUCAUCACACUUUUAUUUACUUACAACUCAAGAAUUAAAACUCGAUACUUAGAACAAAAUAUGACUCUAUAUGAAUGCCUCUGGUGGUGUACCGGGAUGUGCACUGACUCAAGAGUGCCAUGUAUGAAAAUUAUGAACGCUGGCUUUGCCACAAAUACUAUGUCAACUACAUGAUCAUACAAAGCAAUAUGACAAUGAUGAAGUGUGUCAUAAUAAACGGAAUGGUGGAAUGUUGCAUGGCAAUAUAUCUCGGAAUGGAUAUGGAAAUGCCAUAAUAGGUAGGUAUGGUGGCUAUUUUGACAAAGGUAUAUCGUGGGUGUAUGGUACCGGCAAAAGUUGUGCAGUACUAGAGAGGCUAGCAAUGGUGGAAGGGUGAGAGUGCAUGUAAUCCAUGGACUCAACAUUAAUCAUAAAGAACUCACAUACUUAUUGCAAAAAUCUAUUAGUCAUAGAAACAAAGUACUACGCGCAUGCUCCUAUGGGGAUAGAUUGGUAGCAAAAUACCAUCGCUCGUCCCCGACUGCCACUCAUAAGGAAGACAACCAAUAAAUAAAUCAUGCUCCGACUUCAUCACAUAAUGGUUCACCAUACGUGCAUGCUACGGGAAUCACAAACUUUAACACAAGUAUUUCUACAAUCCACAAUUCACUAUCAUGACUCUAAUAUCACCAUCCUCAUAUCUCAAAACAAUCAUAAGGAAUCAAACUUCUCAUAGUAUUCAAUGCACUUUAUAUGAAAGUUUUUAUUAUAUCCCUCUUGAAUGCCCAUCAUAUUAGGACUAAAUUCAUAACCUAAGCAAGUUACCAUGCUGUUUAGAGGGACUCUCAAAAUAAUAUAAGUGAAGCAUGAGAGUUCAACCAUUUCUGUAAAAUAAAGCCACCGUCGUGCUCUAAAAAGAUAUAAGUGAUUGCCUAGCUCAAAGGAUAUAAGUGAAGCACAUAGAGUAUUCUAAUAAAUCACGAUUCAUGUGUGUCCCUCUCAAAAGGUGUGUACAGGAAGGAUGAUUGUGGCAAACUAAAAAGCAAAGACUCAAAUCAUACAAGACGCUCCAAGCAAAACACAUAUCAUGUGGUUAAUAAAAAUAUAGCCUCAAGUAAAGUUACCCAUAGACGAAGACAAAAGAGGGGAUGCCUUUCGGGGCAUCCCCAAGCUUAGGAUCUUGGUUAUCCUUGAAUGUCACCUUGGGGUGCCUUGGGCAUCCCCAAGCUUAGGCUCUUGCCACUCCUUAUUCCAUAGUCCAUCAAAUCCUUACCCAAAACUUGAAAACUUCACAACACAAAACUCAACAGAAAAUCUUAUGAGAUCUGUUAAUAUAAGAAAAUAAAUCACCACUUUAUGGUACUGUUGUGAACUCACUCUUUAUUUAUAUUGCUGUAAUAUCUACUGUAUUCCAAGUUCUCUAUGGUUCAUAUCCCCCCCGUGAUACUACCCAUAGAUUCAUCAAAAUAAGCAAACAACACAUUGAAACAGAAUCUGUCAAAAACAGAAUAGCCUGUAGCAAUCAGAGAACUUCGAAUACUUCUGUAACUCCAAAAAUUCUGAAAAAUUAGGAAAACCUGGGAAAUUUUUAUAUCAGUCUUGUGUAAAAAACUCAGAUCAAAAUCACGCCUACGUGAAUUAUGAAAAUUAUUUUUCUGGGCGUAAAAGAUUUUGUUUUUCAGCAAGAUCAAAUCAACUAUCAGCGUAAGCCAUCCCAAAGGUCUUACUUGCCACAGACACUAAUUAAAACACAUCUAACCAGAGUCUAGAUGAAUUAUUUAUUGAAAAAUAGCAAGGGAAUAUAUUGGGUUGUCUCCCAACAGGCGAUUUUCUUUAAAGCCUUUUAGCUAGGCAUUGAUAAUUUCAAUGAUGCUCACAUAAAAGAGAAGAAUUGAAGCACAAAGAGAACAUCAUAAAACACAUGACAAACACAUCUAAGUCUAACAUAUUUCCUAUGCAUAGGCAUUUUAUAAGUAAACAAAUUAUGAAGGCAAGCAAAAACUAGAAUAUGCAAGGAUGAAGAAAGAGACGAUAGCAAUAUCAACAUGAAGAGAGGUAAUUUAGUAACAUAAAAAUUUCUACAACCAUAUUUUUCUCUCUCAUAAUAAUUACAUGUAGGAUAAUAAGCAAAUUCAAUGAUAUAGCUAUCACAUAUCAUAUUCUCAACAUGAUCCACAUGCAUACGAAGUUGACACUCUUCCAAAAUAGUGGGAUUAACAUUAACUAAAGUCAUGACCUCUCCAAACCCACUUUUACAAAAAAUUCAUAAGAUUGAACAUUCUCCAAAUAUGUGGUGUCUAAAGUUGACACUCUUCCAAACCCACUUUCAAUAUUAUUGCAAACAUUAUUAUCAAUCUCAUAUUCAUCAUGGGGCUUAAAUAGUUUUUCAAGACCAUAAGAAGAAUCACCCCAAUCAUGAUCAUUGAAACAAGUAGUAGACAUAGCAAAAUUAGCAUCUCCAAGCUUAGGGUUUUGCAUAUUAUUAGGACAAUUGCUAGUAAUAGAAUUUAUAAUUACAUCAUUGCAAACAUGAUUUUCAUUCAAGGAGCUAUCAUGAAUCAAUUCGUAAAUUUCUUCUUUUAACACUUCAUCACAACUUCCGGAUUCAUGAAUUUCAAGCAAAACUUCAUAAAGAUAAUCUAGUGCACACAACUCACUAGCAAUUGGUUCAUCAUAAUUGGAUCUCCUAAAAAGAUUAGCAAGUGGAUGAGGAUCCAUAAAAUUUUUGGUUUCUAAUUUUCAACAAACACACAAUUAUACCAAGCGAACGAGCAAACAAACCAAGUAAGACAUAAAGGCAAAUGAAAAGACGAACAGAAGAAGGGCGAAAAAGGCAAAUCUUUUCAAAAAAAUCAUUUUAGAAGCGGGGGAGAGGAAAACGAGAGGCGAAUGGCGAAUAAUGUAAUGCAAGAGAUGAGAGUUUUAUGAUGGGUACAUGGUAUGUCUUGACUUGGCAUAGAUCUCCUCGGCAACGGCACCAGAAAUUCUUCCUGCUAAUUCUUGAGCUUGCAUUGGUUUUUUUCCCUUGAAGAGGGAAGGGUGAUGAAAUAAAAGUAGAGAUAAGUAUUUCCCUCAGUUUGAGAACCAAGGUAUCAAUCCAAUAGGAAAAGAACGCACAAAUCACCUGUAACAUCCCAAAUUUUCAAUUUGGAAUGUUAUACAUUAGAUCAUCUUUGCAUAUCAUAUUUUAUUUCAUUUUGGUUUGAUCCUAGAAAUUCUACGCAACUGAAGGACCCAUAGAGAGAGUUGGGGAUUUCGUUAUUUUCAUAUUUGAGUUUUCUCAAAUUUUGAAAAUAGGAUCAUCUGAUUUUUAUUAUUUUAUCUUCAAUUAUUUCUAUUACAAAAAUAAGAGAGAGGGAAUAAAAUUACUUUCCCAAAAUAAAGAAAUAUUGAGGAUUUAAUAUUAAAAUAAAAUAAGAUUUUAUUUCAUAGUUUUAUCGCUAUUUUAUUUGAAUUAGGAAAAAUGCGCAUAUUUUCAAAUUGCAUUUAGGACCCAAAUAAAUGUUCAUCUUGUUCGACUUGAUUUUAGAGGACGGGAAUUUUUUUCGGGAUUUUUGGAGUCCGUUUAGUAUUUCUUUUAUUUGUUUUUCUGCGCAAAAUUAUUUAAAAAACGAGAACCGACUCGGGCCGCCGUGGGCGACCCGGACCCCUCUUCGCCAGGCCUUUAAAAGCUGCCCGAGCUGCCCCAGCCCACCCCAGCCCACCGCGCCCCAAACCCUAACCCUAAGNNNNNNNNNNNNNNNNNNNNNNNNNNNNNNNNNNNNNNNNNNNNNNNNNNNNNNNNNNNNNNNNNNNNNNNNNNNNNNNNNNNNNNNNNNNNNNNNNNNNNNNNNNNNNNNNNNNNNNNNNNNNNNNNNNNNNNNNNNNNNNNNNNNNNNNNNNNNNNNNNNNNNNNNNNNNNNNNNNNNNNNNNNNNNNNNNNNNNNNNNNNNNNNNNNNNNNNNNNNNNNNNNNNNNNNNNNNNNNNNNNNNNNNNNNNNNNNNNNNNNNNNNNNNNNNNNNNNNNNNNNNNNNNNNNNNNNNNNNNNNNNNNNNNNNNNNNNNNNNNNNNNNNNNNNNNNNNNNNNNNNNNNNNNNNNNNNNNNNNNNNNNNNNNNNNNNNNNNNNNNNNNNNNNNNNNNNNNNNNNNNNNNNNNNNNNNNNNNNNNNNNNNNNNNNNNNNNNNNNNNNNNNNNNNNNNNNNNNNNNNNNNNNNNCCGCCGCCGACCGCCGCCACCCGCCGAACCCCGCCGCCCUCGCCGGAGGUAGCCCCGCGCCGCCGGCGGUUUGUUCAAAAAACUGCCCGGUUUUUUUAUAAAACCGCGGUUGUUUUUUAUUAGAUCAGUUUUUAUUUUUUUGGUUUAGUUUAUUUAGCGGACGUUUGUCCAUACGUUCGUUUUAACGAUCUGUUUUCGUCGUUUAGCCGCAGACAGCGAAUGUUUGUUCGUUAGCCUGUUCGUCUGUUUUUUCUUUUUCUCAGAUUUUCCGUGAUUAUUUCUGAUCGCGAUUUCUUAUCCGAUUUUUGUUCUAGGUUAACUUUUCGCUCGUUUAUCGGAAUCAGGCGAUUCAAGCGCCUAGAGUUUCGUCUCGAAACCCUCUUUCCGUUUAAGCAACUCAAACAAGUUUUUGCCACUAUAAAAUUUGACUUAGGUCCAGAUUAGUAAAUGAAGCUUGUUUGUUUCGCCUUUGAGUUUCAUUGCUUCGUUUGAUUUGAUUUUUUUUGCAAACCGGAGUUCUUAAGUUGAACUUUCUGGUUAGAUCUUUUAUUUGAGUUUUACCUGUGCAUUAUAUGAGUGCUUAUUGUAUGCUUGUUUGUUUGCGAUAGAGUACGCCGCUUGCAAGCCUUCCGCUGUUAUCAUUAUUAGAUGGCCUUAAGCCAUAUUUAUUGCAAUAAGUUCUCUUUUGAGACAUUCGAUGUAAUAAGUGUAUGAUUGCUACUCUGUUAUAAAUCCUUCAAGUACUGUGCGUGUCAGCAUUAUCGAUCCAUGGAUGACACUGAUUGCUACCUCAUCUACCCGGAGUGCGCCACUUGCUACUUCGAAUCUCUAGGUUUCACGGAUCAUCAGCAAAGCAAGUAACACUUUGAUUAUACCUAUUUACUAUGCAGUUUUAUUGCAUUCGAUCAAUCCUCAAAAAAUUGCAUUAUUAGGAUCUGUUUAACAUAUGGGUAUUGGGAAGUAGAUGAGGAAGUACCUAUUACCUGUUUUCUUAUCAAACCCUUGGGAGUUACUUCUACGUUUGCUUAUAUUGCUUUGCUAUGCUAGUAGACGUGGAUUGGGUGAGUGUAUCCAUGACAGAUGUGAGAUUGUUAUUUAAUGGUUUACUUAAGGUGGCAACUUAAAUUCCCAUCUGGGUGGAUUGAGGCACCUGGGGAACCCAGUGUUGCCUGUAUUUUUGGAAAUCCCGGGGCACCGUGUGAUUCUCCUAUGGACCGCCACCCAGACUCAAAGGGAUCAUGAGAUUAUUCAUGCUAGAAACUUCCGUGUGCAGUCGCAAGCUACUAUGGGCUCUAGCAUAGUUGAGUAUGUUGCGUGAGCUCUUGAAGAGGUAGACUAGAAGAUGUAGGGCAUGUAGGUGGUACUGCCUACCCAGAGUAGAGAGUUAAUGCUUCUGCAAGACUGUGUCUCGGUCAUCUUUUUCUCAAACACCAUGUAGUGCGAGAAAUCCAACGAAGGAGAUCGAGUCUUGCGGGGAAAAGUGCGCAAACCUCUACAGAGUGUAUAAACUAAUCAUGGUUAGUCGUGUCCCCGCUUAUGGACGUUUUGAGUAUCUAGUACUUGGAUUAUCAUGUGAAUCUCAUCAUGUUACUUAAUUUAUUUUUGUUGGGUUAAUGAUGACGCUUAUUUGGGAUUGAGUUGGAGUAACCUUCUCAAUGUUUAACAACCAGCAUGAUAGUUAAAUAAAAUGUAUUCCUUUGUUGUAGGAAAAAAUUGGCUUUAUGCAAAACUGUAACCAUAGAGCUUUCCACCAGCCAUAUAUGCAUGUAGUGAUAGCAUUAUUCUGUUCAUUACUCUCUAUGUGUUACAUUGCCAGCAUAUUCCAUGUGCUGACCCGUUUCGGGCUGCAACGUUCAUGUUGCAGACUUUUUAGACGACAAGUAAGGUGCCUUAGGUCGUGGUCUUAUACUCAGUGAUGCCGUUGGAGUUGAUGGACUCGCUUAUCUUCCAAGCCUUCCGCUGUUAUCAUUAUUAGAUGGCCUUAAGCCAUAUUUAUUGCAAUAAGUUCUCUUUUGAGACAUUCGAUGUAAUAAGUGUGUGAUUGCUACUAUGUUAUAAAUCCUUCAAGUACUGUGCGUGUCAGCAUUAUCGAUCCAGGGAUGACACUGAUGCACAAAGAUCAGACUGUUUGAGGUCUGGUCGCUACAUCACCAAUACCUGCACAAAUAAUCAAACAACUUGCAGCCAAUGCGAUAAAGGGGUUGUCAAUCUCUUCAUGGUUACUUGCAAAAGUGAGAUCUGAUAAACAUAGAUAAACAAAAGAUAAUAUUUUUGGGGUUUUUUUGGUUUAUAGAUCUGAAAAUAAAAGAUUGCAAAAUAGUAGAUCGGAAACUAAUAUGAUGGAAAAUAGUAGAUCGGAAACUAAUAUGAUGGAAAAUAAAAGAUCGGAAACUAAUAUGAUGGAAAAUAGACCCGGGGGCCAUAGAUUUCACUAGAGGCUUCUCUCAUGAAGGCAAAUAAUACGGUGGGUGAACAAAUUACUGUCGAGCAAUUUAUAGAAAAGCACAAAGUUAUGACGAUAUCCAAGGCAAUGAUUAUGCAAUAUAGGCUUCACCUCCAUAUCAAGUAGACCAACUCCUGCCUACAUCUACUACUAUUACUCCACACAUCGACCGACUCCUGCCUGCAUCUAGAGUAUUAAGUUCGUAAAGAACAGAGUAAUACAUUAGGUAAGAUGACAUGAUGUAGAGGAAUAAAGUCAUGCAAUAUGAUGUAAAUCCCAUAUUUUUAUCCUCGAUGCCAACAAUACAGUACGUGCCUCGCUACCCCUACUAUGUCACUGGGUGAGGACACCAUAAGAUUGAACCCAAAGCUAAGCACCUCUCCCAUUGCAAGAAAAACCAAUCUAGUUGGUCAAACCAAACCGAUAAUUUGGAGAGAAAUACAAAGAUACCAAAUCUUGCAUAUAAGAAUUCAGAGGAGAUUCAAAUAAUAUUCAUAGAUAAUCUGAUCAUAAAUCGGCAAUUCAUCGUGUCUCGAUAAACACACUGCAAAAAAGUAUUACAUCGGAUAGAUCUCCAAGAACAUCGAGGAGAACAUGGUAUUGAGAAUCAAAUAGAGAGAAGAAGUCAUCUAGCUACUAACUAUGGACCCGUAGGUCUGUGGUGGACUACUCACGCUUCAUCAGAAGGGCAAUAGAGUUGAUGUAGAUGCCCUCCAUGAUCGAAUCCCCCUCCGGAAGGAUGCUAGAAAAGGCCCCUAGAUGGGAUCUCACGGGAACAGAAGGUUGCGGUGGUGGAAAAGUGUUUUUGUGGAUGCUUCUAAGGGUUUGGGAACAUUUGCAAAUAUAUAGGAGGAAGAUCUUGGUCAGGAGGUCACUGAGGGGCCCACUAGGUAGGGGGCACGCCCUCCACCCUUGUCGCCACCUCGUGGCUCUUCUGACUUGAACUCCAAGUCUCCUGGGUAUCUUCUGGUCCAAGAAAAAUCAUCGUGAAGUUUUAUUCCGUUUGGACUCCGUUUAGUAUUCAUUUUCUGCGAAGCUCAAAUACAAGGAAAAAACAGAAACUGGCACUGGCCUCUACUUUAAUAGGUUAGUCCCAAAAAUAAUAUAAAAUAUCAUAUAAAUGCAUAUAAAACAUCCAAAAACAUAUAAUAUAAUAGCAUGGAACAAUCAAAAAUUAUAGAUACAUUGGAGACGUAUCACGGCACCAUCUCCACCACAGAGCUCCCAAACAAGGGCAGUUAGUAAGGCAGCUCCAGUGCCCAAAGCGCUAGUACUACCACGGCGAACCCCAACUCCACCAGUUAGUAAACCUAUUCCUGUGGAGGAAGCACAACCAGCCAUUCGUAGUUUAGCAUCUAUCGCUUUUGAUGUUGUUAAAUACUAUGUGCGUACCUUCCCAUCAUGGAAAUAUUAUAUGGAAGAUGUAGGAAAAUGUCAGUUGCAGGUGUUCGUCCAGGAGUUAUGCGUAAGUAAUGUUAUUCAUGGCAAUUAUUUUGCUUUGUCCAAUACAUUCUGCCUCCAUGAUAGUUAUAAUAUAUAAAAUUUUCCCAUUUUUCUCUAUAGAGAAGGACCAAUUUGAAAACUCGGGAUGAGGUAACUUGUGCUAAUAACUCUGCUAUCUUCAAGAAUGCUUGGUGGCAGUAUCAAAAUUACCUAAAGAACAUGUACUUCACUGGCAAACAAACUCAUCAAAUUCCCUUACGUUCUCGUGACACACAUUUAUGGGACGAUGACUGGCAACGCCUUGUUCUGUAUUGGUCCCGAACCAAGAAUGUGGUAAGGUCUACGAGCUCAUUUUUUAUUUUUAAGUAUUAUAUGUGUGCGUCUUACUAUACUCUGUUUGUGUAGAACAAAUGCUUAAACCUGAAGAACAACUGUUCUCAUUUAAGAUUCCAUUGCUAUCAUGCAUACUGCUUUGCUCUUGUGUCACUAUAUUUACUCAUACAAACUUACUUUUAAAUUGAAGGAUCCAAUAGAAACUCCAAUGGCACAACAGGUAUGUAUAAGCAUGUUUCUUUAACAGGUUUGCUCUUAUAAAUAGCUCUGUUGAUUUCAAUUUCAAUUGUGUAUAUAGUUGACUUCUCAUAUCAUGCACAUUACUAGCAUCACAACAGAGCCAAUAGUGUUGUUGUACAUGUAGACCCAUGGUAUCCAUCUGAAAUCUUGUUGUGUCGCGUAGUUUCCCACGCUUUGUAUUCUUUCAAUGCUGGAUUGUCUUGAACAAAUAUGAUUUGAACCAUGUCUCUAUUUUGAUUUGGCAAGACAACGCAUUGACCAUAGGACAUAGAUAUAUGUUUGUUUGAUGCUUUUAUUAUGUACUACUUGGGAAUAGAAGACUUGGUAGUUUAAUCAUGUCCACCUUACUAAUGAACUGGUUCACCAAAAUGAGUUUCAUAUACUACAUGCUAAACAUGUUACGUGUUUGCUUGUUUCUUCUUUUAUAAUGCUGACGAAUAUUGGGGAAGAGUGCCUUAUUAAGCAGCGGUAAAGGAAGUAAUGCAGAUAAGGUUCGGGAUAGUGAAACAUCCUUGUUGGUCUCCAACAAAGCUAAUAAAACAGCUAAGAAAAACUAUCUUGAAGACGGUGAGAGAACCCCAAAGUCAUGUCUUGGUGUAGUGUUCGAGUUACUGGCCACUACCGCUGGCACAAAGUGGCACCCUGGCUCAGAGAAACCGGAACGCCCCGUAUUCCAGCCCAGAGAUCGAGGAGAAGUCUUCUAGAAGUAUAGAACAAAUCAGCUGUUUAUUACAAUCUAUAUUGGGUUGUACGAGGAGAUUACAUUGGCACGGUGACACUACGCCGGCCACGGUUGCUCCAUGCAAGCAGCAGAACAACAUGAAGCAGCGGAAUAACUUCUAGCAGUGGAACAACGGUGACGGUGAUGAACUCCACUUCGCAGGGACUCUGGCUGGAACGUGUAUCCUAGCUCACAAACAAGGGAUCCACGGCAAACAAGCAAUCAAAUCCGGCAUGACCUCCAAACUGGCACGACACGCCAGGUCAGUACAUUGAAUGUACUUGCAGGCUCACAGCAACCAAGAGCAAUCAAGACAAACAACAACAUGGCAAUUACAGGUUAACAAUGAGUAACAUGAUAUCAUCAUAACAACAUGGCAUGAAUAACAUGAACAUGAUACAGCUAGAACAAUAUGAGCAUGGCAUGAACAUAUGAAUCUGACGAUACUAGCAUGCAACAUGAUGACACUAUCAUGCACCACUUAUUCUGCUCAGGUUACCUCGUCACCAUCACAUGCAUCAGUUACCUCGGACAUCUCGCGAUCAUCUCGGGAUCAAAUCAAGCUUGGUAUAAACAAUACCGUAGUAAUCAUGUCAUGACCACAAGUAGCUUGAUCUUUGCCCACGAUUCUUGCACAACAGCACAAAUAUCCAACAACUUGGUAUCCUCGAUACCAUGGUGAUCCUCUCACAAUCACAUAACCAACUUCGGUAUCCAUGAUACGAUGGUGAUCCUCUCACGAUCACAAAACCAAUUUCGGUAUCCACGAUACCAUUGUCAUCCUCUCACGAUCACAUAAAAAUCAACCAACUUCUCUCAUCAACAAAUCGGGUUUGUUGUUAAGCACAUCAUUAUUAUUACUAUUGACCCAAAGUAUGACCAACUACGAACUGGGCCCUUAUCCACGGGCGCAACUAUCAAUAGAUUUAACACACACUCUGCAGAGGUUAGAAUAUUGUACCCACACCACGGAACCCAUGGCCUCGAAAUCCCGUUCGGGUGGACCAAUGGCAUUCCGAAAAGACAGCUCUAUUGCCGAUCACUCUCCCAGCCACUCCGACCAACUCCCCUCUUGGCUAAGUCAUGAGUGGCCCCAUGCCUACCAAUGACAUCAAAGGGCACCAUCGUGGCAAAACAUAAACGGUCCUAGACGGGGACAUGUGCACAAAAGCAAACAACAAUGGGCACACAAGGCUUAUGUUUGCCUACCUGAUCAGGGUAGCGCGCGCCCAUAACCUUCUAUCGUUGGAGGCACCGGCGAGGGGCAUGACAAUAGACCCAGUUAGGACCUUCCCAUAAAGGCAAAUGUGGUUGCACUGGUCAGCUCAAUAUGGUGGCACCAUGACUCAGCCAACAGUUGUUCAAGUUCAAUUAAGUCCGGUUAAACUUGAAUGCGACAAGCUGAGUCAUACGAAAAUAACAUGAUGCAACUACAAUGCAUGAGCAUGAUAUCAACAUAAGCAUGGUUGUGCAUCAUCACUUCUUAACAUAUCAAAAACAAUAAAUCAUAUAUUCGACUGAGCAUGGCAUACUGGCUAGCAUGAACAUCACAAGUACACUACUCAGAAAAAUAGCAGGACCAUGAGCAGCAAAAUAAAUGCCAUGCAAGAACAUAUCAAGCAUUCUACCAGGCAAGCAUAUAACUAGAUAAAUGCAAAGAAACAUGCACAUCCACGGUACUUGGUAACCGACAAUUGCAACAAAGAACAUUACCAAUAUCAACAGGUACUACUACCAAGCUUAACAUACGAAAGAAAUGCUGGAAACUAUUACGUGGUAACCAGAUGCAUCGAAACAUAGCACGAAAGUGAACAUGAAACUCUAAGCAUCACCGAAACCACGACAACAGUAGCAAAACCAGCAGACAUUUAUUAAAUAUUCAUAUUGAAAACCAUGGCUACUGCAUGACUAUCAUGAAGGAUACUCUAGGGAGAUGUGCGGGUCAAUAAUGGGCGGGUCCCACUCCAAUCUCACUAUCCUCCUGCUCCACCUUCUUCUUCCCCCGACACGGGCACAGAACAGAGGAAGGGGCACCGGCGUCGAAGCUGGCCCAGCGGCAGCGGAAAUCCCCGGCCAAGGUCAGGCCACCGGAGGACUCAGGGAAAGGUGACGCACCCAACAUGGCUAGGCACGGACGCCGAGGAGGACUGGAGCAGCGAUGGCCUGGACCCCGAUGGAAGUGGCCUUCGGCCAAACUUUGGGCACGUGGCCACAGUGCUGUAGGAGAGGGGAUGUUGGUAUGGAGACGUUUGUGGUGCUCCGUGGAAUGCUCUGGUGGUGGCAGAACACUGACGGAGGGCUCGGCUUGAGCAGAUUUUGGCCGGAGGGUGCGGCGGCCAUGGUGGCAGUGAGCAAUGAGGAGAGCAGCUCCGGCUCGUGGAAGCUGUGGGGCGGGGUCUUGGUAGAGAGGGGAGGGCGAUGGAGUGCUCGGGCACCGUGGGGAGGGGCUACUUAUAGCCAGGGCGAGUGGCGCAGGCUUGGGUGCGACCGUGGGGGUCCGGCCAAUCCUUUGACGAGCUCAUCGAUCACGGGGAGGCACAUGAAGGCGGCAAGGGAGGGAACGGAUGAGCUAUAGAGCUCUUGGGGCAGAAGGGGUCAAGGGCACAGGAGGAAGAAGCAGUCGAACGCCAUUAAUGCCUUGUCGGUCACAAUGCUCCCAUGGGCGAGCAGCGACGAGCGCCUAUGAAGUGGCUUCGGGAGGGAGAGAUGAGUCCAGGGAGAAGAGGACGACACAAGCUAGCUGUUGGACACGGCCGGUUGUGCAAGAACGACGAGAGGGGAGGGGCCCGAGCAAGAAACCACGCAGCUCACGGCCAUGGCAUGCCAGACUCGUGAUCACCGCAUGAGCUGGUGAGGAGAAGGUGCCAAGGGCUGGAAAGUGUUGUCUGCGAGUUAGUCAUUCCAAGGAAGGUUGCAACUGAGGUGGUAGCUCGGUAAAAAUGUUGUGGUUAAAAGGUAAGAAACCUCUGAAGUUUACUGUUGAAAACUUGAUCAAGCCAAUGUGAUCAACAGAGAGGUGCUAAGGGCCAAAUGAGUUGUUUGGGAGGUUUAGGAUAGGAAGGACUCUAGUUCUGUGAAUUUAGAGAGGAAAUGGACCAAGGAUUAAUAUAGUAGCUUUAUAACUAACCAAAAUGGUCCAGAAACUUGAGCAUGAUGAUGCACUCACAUGGAGUAUCAACUUGAGCUCAAAUUGGGCAAGGCAGAGUUAUUUGGUCAUAUGAAGAGGCUAAAAAAGUUUCAUACCAAAUGGACAAGCCAAAAUGGUACUUGCUUCACAAACAUCUCCUGUCGACAGAAAUUUGCAAAAAUUCCUGAGGGAAAAUGGCUGGAUGAAAUAUGCCCAAAUUUGUUGGAGAUAGGUUAUAUGGAUAAGAGAAGGGCUAGGAAAAUUUUCAUCCCUAACGGAGCAAGAUAAAAUAUAGUUGCUUCACAAACUGAAAAUUUGGACAAAAACAAAGAACUGAAGAUGAGCUCACAUGGAGGCAUGACAUGAGCUCAAAUUUGGUGGAGAGCUUUGAUAUGAUGAUAUUGAGGUAAUGCAUAAAUUUCAACUCAUUUGGAUAUGCCUAGCUUGUACCUCCUUCACAAAGUUUCUUUCUGGACAGAAACUUUGUAAAAUUAUUAGUCAAUAAUUACUAGGCAAAUGAGCUUGAAUUUUGGCAUGUGGCAAUGUUAUGGACAUGAAAAUAUUUUCAAAAGAUUUGAGGUCAAUUGGGCAAAGGAAAACAUCAGUUGCUUCACAAUGUGCCAUUUAGGGCAGAAUAGGAAAAUAAUUAUUUGAGGAUUAUUUUUGAACAUGGCAAUAAAAAGUUUUGCCGCAUUUGAUGAAGAUAUGAUCCAAACAAUUUAUGAGAAUUAUAUGGGAAUUUUUGGAGUGAUACAAAUAUAGAUUGCUUCACAACCUAGGGUAAAAGAGAUAAUUCCUUCAAUAGAAAAGGAAUAUUCCCAAUAAAAUGUAUAUUGGGAUUUGGUCUAGGAAGAAAAUGGCAAGGUCUAGGGAAGGAUUUGGGUAUGACAAGCCACUCUGAAAAUAAAGAAGAGGUCAUUUUCUUCAAUUUCCCGACCACAUAGCCACAGAAAAGGAAAACUCAAGUAAAAUCCUCAGGAAAUUAAAGAAAAAGAAAUGGCCAAAAAUCAGGCUAUGACAAACCUUCCCCCCUUAAUGAAAUCUCGUCCUCGAGAUUUGGUUGCUCAGGGAAUAAGUAUGAAUAUAUCUGACUUUAAAGAAACCGUUUCCAACUCGGGUAUCCUUUUUCCUUUAUUGUUGUUCCCACUAAUUUUUUAUCUCACUUACCUGACUGGCUCUAGGGUGGUUUGCUUCACUGUAUCCACAUUCUGACAGAUCUUACCUCACAUGUUCAUGCUUAUACAGGCUCCAUUUAUUUUCAUAUCGAUCGAUUUAGCUGACUGUCAUAGAUUAUCAUGACUGAAAUAUAUGCCUGUCUCACCAGUCCGAGAGUGAUUUCCGAUGGGUGUGUCAUCCGUCAUUGUCAACCUUUUAUGAAGUUGUGAAUAAAUUUUUCAUGGUAGACACCCAAUCAUUUACUCCUUGCGUUUGGUUCCUUAAUAAGAUACGAGUUCUCCAGGUUCAAAACAAUGAUGUGAAUCAUAACCAUUCUCCUGGCAGAUUCUGACUCUACGCAGGAGUUUCUGAAUUAUCUUGACUAGUUCCACUGUCUUGAGUGUCAGAUCUGUAGCAAAUAUUUGAUUGUCGCCUGGUGUGGCCAGGAUGAAGGGGUACGACCUUACAUGAUAGUAUUCACAGAUUUGACUGACUAUGGAUCUUGUAGAAGAAUUUUGGCUCAUGACAGGCGAUCCUUGAUGAUUCACAUAAGUGAGGGAUCAUGCUUCAAGACUCUCAUUCAACAUUCUGAUUGCUCAUUCUGUCGGGGUACCCAUGGGAUAGUAGGUUGUGAGAUGCUUUACAAUAGUUGCUGGAGUCAAACUGUUGAAUUGACCUUUGAUCUGACUUCACAAACCCAGAUAUUCCACACUAACAAAUCUGAGCAUAUGCGGUUAACUGAGCGGGUUGUCUGGAUAUGGGUUCCUUACCAAAAUUGAGUAGACCCCGCAGGUGAGUAUUCAUGGUGGUCAAUACUAACUCAAACUGUCCGGGGUAUCUGCACCACGUGGGCCAUGCAACAAUUUUCUUACCUGUAUCGUCGGUCUUUGCUCCUUCAUUCUUGUUUUCUUGUCUGGAUCAUUUGCUGAAAAAGCUGGGUCAUAUUGCUUCUUCAUGUGACCCUAGGUACUGUCUAGUGCAAUAUUUCGGCAAUCAUAACAUAUCCUUGUUCAUGUACCAUGGGAACUAUACCGGGUUCACAUGUGCUUGCAUCUAACUCAUUUUUGUUGUAAAGCAUACCAAGUGGUGACGAAUGAUAUCACCUGGUCACGUAUGCGGAAUCAGGCCUGACUGAGCACUGCCAAAAUUUGCUGUCCCAUGUUGUCUUUUUCCAGAAUUUUUCGAUUUUUGCAUCACCAACUUAGGUGUAUAACUGGCUUUCUUAUCUUGCAUGACUCGUGAGAUUACCGGAUUCACACCUUGACUUCACUAUUGUACCAAUGACUUGCAACAACUUGGUAGCAUGCUCACGAUAUAUAUGAGAAUCUAAUUCUUGAGGUAGACUUGGCUUCUGACUGAUUAUUGCUUCUGACCAAACUGUUGCAGAUCUGCUUGGGAUACACUGCCAAAUGCUGCCAAUUCAUAGUGUAAUAUACCAUGUCGUACUGAGGGAGAUUGGAUGACUUAUGCUCAAAGAUUUCAUCGGGCAUCUUGCCAAAGAAGACUAGAUACCGUGUGACAGAAGCUUCCCCCCUUAAAGACUUUGCUGGGGAAAGACUCGGUACCUUAUGCCAGAAGCUUUUGCGGUUGCUUACUGAAGAAGGCAGAGUACCUCGCAUGGGAAAUCAUCCAGGUAUCGUACUGAGGAAGAUAGAUGAAUCUUUCCUUGGAAGCUUCUCUGGUAGCUUGCGAAGGAAGAACGAGUUGCUUACACCAGAAGCUUCUCAUUGUAAUAUGAAGACCAAUUUCUACAGAUACAUACCAACUUAAUACUUCUGUUGUUGUUUCUUGUAUGAAACAGGGUUUUGCUGGACUAUCUCCCUUUUGAGUAUUAAAUACACGCCCUAUUUUUUGUGCUCGCUUCCGGGUAUAUCAUGUUUCAAAAUCCCCCUCAAUGAAGAAUCAAACCUUGCAUCUGACCCAUACCUUUGACUGAUAAUAUUCUGCCAAUCUUGCACACAAUUUAUCUUCUUGCUGAUUUGAUCAUUUCUGCUAUGAAGAGUGCACACUGAGAUAAUCUUGAUUAUUCAGUAUCAGGAUCAGAUAUCCCAAAUCUCAAUGCAGUCGGCAGAGAAUUCCAUAUUGUUGUGAGGAGUUCACACUAAUGCAAACUUUAUACUAACAGACCAUCCAAGAUUUCUUUUGCAUUCAGACAAGGUAUUCAAAAUUUCACCGCAGUCUGUGGAUAAUUCCAUUCUAUUUAGCUGAGUUUCCAAACAUUUGCAUUCCUUGCUGACUCUUUGGGUCCAUUGUUCAUUGACGAGCAACUUUAAUAAGGGGAAAAUAUGCAACACCAAAGGCCCAAAGAAAGAAACAAAUGAAACAACGAAAACAAAAGCACACAAGCAUACUAAUAAUAUAAAUAAGCAAGCAACAACACAUAUUACUGCUACUCACACAAUAAUAUGCAUGCACACCUAAGAACACAAAUCUUGCGGAAACUCCGAUAUUAUGGUCUAAUAUGCUGUGAUGGUGUGCAUGAAAGUGAAAUCCAUGUGUGGAAGGAGUUGGCGUAACCAAGGCUACACCAAGCGCUAGCUGAACACCAGUUGCAUCUGGAUGCAUGCAGGGAUGAGGACGGACUUGGUGAUCAUGCAACGAGACACAAAGGUCGCGACCACAUCAUCAUGAAGCGUGCGAAAGGGAAUUGUACAUGUCCAAAGAAUGGGAUGACAUGGUAGGAUAGCAGUGGAAAAGCAAGGCUAGCUGGCAUUGCCCUCUUUUGAUAACAAAGAUCAGUAAGGGUUGCCAAAGGAAAGAGAUGGAGGGCACGAUUCGAGAUAGGGACAAGUCUAUCACCCAAACGAUAUGGGUGGAUGACGGAAAAAUAUCGACGCAAUACCUGAGCAUAACUCCUGCAAAUUGUGUCUGGAACACUUGGCACCAGGGCAUCACUCUACUGGGACAGAGAUGAUGCCAAAUGCCGACGAGCAGGCAUGCUAAGAAGGAGGGUGCAGGUAGUGGAUCAAAAACGAUGCCACCUACACUCACAAGAUUAACCAUUAGCGACAAGAUCAUAAUCUAUACGCAUGCUAUGCAACAAACAAAUGCAGCAAACAAGUGCGACAAACCAACUGGGCUCUAUACUACCACAUUCUGACGUCCGCGCGGGCUAGGGCAUCCUAUAGCCAGACCUCCUUUGAUACCAAGCCUUGUGGAACCCCGUCUCAGAGAAACCGGAAUGCCCCAUAUUCCAGCCUAGAGAUCAAGGAGAAGUCUUCUCGAAUACGGCACUGCUUAGCAUAGAACAAAUCAGCUCUUUAUUGCAAUCUAUAUUGGGUACAAUGAUAUUACAUCAUCACGGUGACCUAUGUGACGCCCUCGAUUCAAUCGUACACUAAUCAUGCACGCAAAUGUGUACGAUCAAGAUCAAGGACUCACGGGAAGAUAUCACAACACAACUCUAUACACAAAUUAAAAUAAUACAAGCUUUAUAUUACAAGCCAGGGGCCUCGAGGGCUCGAAUACAUAAGCUCGAAUACACAAGAGUCAGCGGAAGCAACAAUAUCUGAGUACAGACAUGAGUUAGACAAGUUUGCCUUAAGAAGGCUAGCACAAAAGCAACAUCGAUCGAAAAGGCAAGGC
RNAcentral lists this long non-coding RNA (47313 nucleotides) under Triticum aestivum (bread wheat). Its description in RNAcentral is "long non-coding RNA (TAES_LNC011987)". The record is from RNAcentral. Lineage: Eukaryota; Viridiplantae; Streptophyta; Magnoliopsida; Poales; Poaceae.